This 56355-nucleotide long non-coding RNA is filed under the name Citrus maxima (pomelo). Its description in RNAcentral is "long non-coding RNA (CMAX_LNC001593)". Lineage: Eukaryota; Viridiplantae; Streptophyta; Magnoliopsida; Sapindales; Rutaceae. The record is from RNAcentral.
AAACCACCAGCUACCUUUUUGCUUCUUAUUUUAUACAUGUGGCAACCUCUCUGGCUUGUGGUCCUCCUGCCUUUUUGGGACAUUGCAAUAGGUAGCUUACAUGCCAUUUUCUUAUUGCUCAUCUCAGGAAUCUCUAUUCCCAUUGGCACCUCAUUCUUAGCCGAAAGAUAGAUAUUUUCAAUUUCUCACAUGAUAACAUUCUAUUUAUUGCACUUUUAAUUUCAUUAGAUCACUAAUCUCAUUAUUUAUUUUGUUUUAUUUAAUUUUUUAAAUUUCAAUGUCAAUCCAUGUGGAGAUGAACUUGAUACUCAUCAUUAUAUUACAUGUUGUGUACACUUGAAUAUUGACAUCACUAUACAUCAUAUCGAGCACACACCAACAUGCACUGUUUACAUGCGGCUCCAACCAUCAAAAUUCGAUUUUUAAAAAGUACUGCUUAAUGACGUGGAGUUUUCGAAAUUGUCCUUUUAUUCGAGAAACAUGUCUUCCGAUUCCUGGUGAACUUUCUCGGCGUUCUGGUCAAACAACCUGUUCCUCGCUUUACAAACCAUCUAAGUGGGGGUGCAUCAAGAGAAAUAAUUCUAAAAGCAUUUCUCCAAAGGAGCUAGGUUGAUCAUCCCAAACUGGUCUUGAUUUUAUUCCAGGAAACAAACACUUAAGUAUUCACUCAAUUUCUACAAUAACAUACAAAGAACUUUAAGCCUUUAAAUGUGAACUAAAAGACAGUGGUGGGUGAGCACAUGUGAAUGUGUGUACAUACAUGUCUCGCUUCAUAUGUAGACAAUAUGAUGAAAUGCAAAAGGAGCCUCAACCAGCUUAUCUACGCUAAACAACAUAGAAGAAGAAGACCAAUAAGAUUUAGUGUCAUUGACAACUCAAGGAUAACAGCAAAUUAAAGGUUCAAGAGUAGAUAUUUAACUUACAGAUGAAUAACCAGCUACUCAGCCGAGGAAACGUCUAUCCACCAUAUCUGCUGUCUCUAUACCAGGGGGAAAAAAAAAAAGGAAAAGAAAUUAACGAACUGAUUAAUACUCUUUUUUUUCCCCCCUUAAUGGGCACAAAAAGCAGCUCAACCUUACAGAACUGCCAAUAUUGAAAUCCUUCUAUACUUCAACUUGGGAGUGAGAGUUUAUCCCACAGAUUUCUUGGUAUCCAGGUUGUAAAAUAAAAAAUAGGAAAAUGUCUGCAUAUAUUGACAAAGAAUAAAGCUUUACUUUGCAAACGAUCCCCCCAACCGUCGGAUAAAUCAGCAUUCUCUAAAAUAUUACUGAGGAUCUGUUCAUAAUUUAAUCCAAGAACAGUCAUCGAGCCUGGUGCUGUAAGCAGAUUUUGUAAAGCUUUCAACUUUAACGCCUUCGAGCCUGGCACUUGCCGUAAACUUAUCGAAUUUGAUGGCCAGUCCUCCGGGUUGGUGGCAGCCCAACUUGUUUUUCCACUUUGUUGAAUAAAGCAAUGAAUUUGCUUUCAGUAGUGAAGCCGUUGCCAUUGAAAUAAUAAUAAUAAAUAUGAUAUGUUAGGUUUCUUUGUCCCCAUGGUCGCUUCUUUUCCAAUUUUGUUUUUGAACGACAAUGGCAGAAUUAUAUUAGCCAUCCACGUGGAAAAUCAUUUGGCAAAUUUAUUUUGAGAAUUUUUAUGGAUUUUCAUGUUUAUUAUUUUCAGAAUUAUUUAUGGAUUUUUCCUGCUAUAUGAUUUUUUUGGAAUACUGAUAAUAUAAUUGUUUUAAACUUUAAAUUUAAUUGUUUUAAUCUCUACCGUUCAUUUAAUUUAAUGGAUAAAUAAUUGGUUAAUUAAUAAGGAAUAGAUAACUUCUUUUUUUGGUUUUAUCCACGAGGUAUUUUGGGGAGGGCCCCAACUGUGGGAGGCACCUUUAAGCCCGUACCACAACCCAGACUAGAAGUCCCCGCUCGAACCGGGAGGCACAGGUUCUCCCAACAAAGGCAACUUCCCUGUGACUCGAACUGGGGAGCAAACUCAGUCAAGCCACUUAAGGGGACUCCAUUGCCAGUGGAGCCAACACUUUAUUAGUGGAAUAGAUAACUUUUAAAAUACAGUUUGAUGAAUUUGAAUUAAAUGCAAAGCUUAUGAAUUCAACGACUAAGGAUAAAGGCUUGUGAUCUAAUACGACUCCUCUUAUCCCUUUUUUUUUUUUUUUUUCCUUACUUUCUAAUUUCUAAAUAAUCUUUUUAACAUGUGUGUUAACUAACAACAAUAUUUUUAAAGAAUUAACAUUUGUUCAUUAAUACAAAUAUUUUACGCGUCGAUUAAAAUCAAAUGAUGUGCAUUGUUACAUUAUUGAUGUUGUAAUUAAAAAAAAAAUUAUAGAAUGACCCUUGUUUUAUAUUUAAUAUAACUUCAUAUAAGUAAACUUAAUGAGAUUAUUAUUAUUAUAGUUUUUUUUUAAUUCUUUAAUGUUAAAUGAUGUGGCGUGUGACGUUAUCAUUUGUUAAUAGUUUUUAUAAAGUUUCAAGUGUAUCAAUUACAUUAUCUUAUUAUUCACUUUGUGAAUGUCAUAAAAACUAAGAUCAAAUUGAAAAUUGAACAUUGAGAGCAUUAGAUGUUUUAUUGUACAAAUUAUAUUUUGGAUCACAUAUGUGUCGAAACUAUUUAUAAGUAUUAAUAUGCUGAAACUAAAUGGAUUAAUAAUGGUAACAGGAUGAUUUCAAAUUUUCAAAUCGUAAGGCUGGUGAUUCAUUCAAGUUACUCGACUAAUAUACACAUGAACUGUCGUAAUCAUUUGGGCAAAUGACAAACAAUAUACAAGGAAAUGCAAGGAACUGAAGCAGCUAAUCUAUCUUUUCUUAGCUCUAAUCAAUUGGAAAACAAGCACUAUAAGAGAGACAAGAAGAGCUGAUCCUGCGACAACAAGAGGAGGACAAACCUUAUUCUUUUUAGAAACAUGCUUCUUUAUUUGUGCUGCUGCCGCAUCCUCAUUGAUACCUUUCUGCUUCUCCAAUUCUUUAGAUUCUUGUUCAUCAGGUUUUUCUUCAGCUGGCUCAAUUUCAUUUGGCUUUGGAGUUUCUUCUGGCUCAGGUACUUGACAGGGCUCUUCAGGUUUUGUUAAUUCUUCAACUUCUUGACAGGGCUCCUGCUUUUGUAAAUCUUCGGGCUUUUCGCUUUCCAUUCGAUGAUGAUCUUUACUAGCAGUGUGUUUCUCUUCAACUUGAGUAGCUAACGAACUUUGAUCAUCUCCAGAUUCGAUUGUUUUAGCCAUCUCAGGGCCAGGAACAUGUGCUUCAAAUCCUGGCUCUGGUGCUUUUUCUUCAGGAAGCCUAUCUUUCCAAGUUUCUUCAGUUUGCAAUGGUUCCGUGAUCUUCGAAAUCUCAGCUUCCCCGUCAGGUUUUGAGGAUACAGUUUCAGUUCUUCCUGGUGAUUCCUCCACAACCCGUUCAUUUUCUUCCUUGCUUUUAACUUCAGGCCCUUUGGAUUCUUCCCGAAUUGUCUGUUCAACUCUUUCAGUUUCUGCCUCGGCUCCAUUCUCCAAUGGCCUGGAUUCCCGUCCAUCAAAUUUUUCUUCGGCUCCUUCUGUUUUUCCAUUUUCAGGAAUCUCUUCAGCAGCUGAUUCCGUUGUUUCAAAUGUUCGCUGAUCAUUUGCUGGUUCCUCAGCCUGACCCGGAUCCUGCUUUUCUUCAAUCUUCUCUAUAAUUUCUUCCUUAGGCGCCGCCUUAUUCGUACCUUUCUCGGGAACCUCAUCAGCCGCAACUGGUUUCAUUUCAGGAUCCUCUAUUUUAUCAAUUGCUUCAGGCAUCCCUCUAUCGACUUCCUCUUCCUUCACUUCCUCAAUCACAACCCCAGAAUGUCCUUUAACUGACUUGGGCAUGAAAAUUGUCAAAUUUGAUGUUUCUUCAUUAAACUUGGCCUUAACUUUAUCCAAAAUCACCCCAUUUGGUAUCUGAAAAACUUUCCUGAAGGCCCUGAUUUCCACCUCUUUUUUCUGCACAAUCCAACCCAUCAACACCAUCUCUUGCACCGGCUUCUUUCCACUAAUUGCAAUUUUAUCUCCUGCUUCAUUUAUCAUAAUAUCGAUAUUCUCUCUUCUGAAGCCUGCACAUGCUCAAAAUUUAAGAUUAAAUUAUCUCAUUUACCAUCAAUUUAUACAACAGAAAGAUUAAAUUAAAAUGGAAGAGACGUGGAGUUAAGUAAAUAAGAUAAACCUUUGAGAUAUCCGGUGAGGAUGAACUUGCUGUCAGUUUCUUCAGACACGAAAAUUGGACCAGACGAAUCUGUGGUGAUCCGAAAAUCAGCAAUGGAAGUCUGUUCGUCGUCUCUUGUACGAGUGAGCUUAAAUCCCAAUUCAAGCUCCAUGGCUGCUACUGCUUCUUCCUCUUUUUUUUUUUUUUUUGAAUAAAAGAAAUUCAAAUUACUAUGCUCUGAGUAAUGUAUGAGAAACAGAAUUAAUACGAUUAUAAAAAAAUUGUGGUGCAAGGCAUUCUAACAUGUUGAAGUCACAAUUUGGUGGCAUUUUUGCAGGUGUGUGAAUAAGAGUAAAGCACAUAUUCAUUGCUUCUUAGUGUAAAAUUUGAGGUGGGUUCAAAGUCGGUUACUUCUAACUGUUCUUGGCCUUGGCGAGAAGCAACGGCAUUUUGCUGAUACUAAAACGUGAAAUUGCAGGUGAGGUACAAGUGGAGCACCAAAAUGUGUCCCUGCUUGGGAUAAAAGAAUAUUUCUUCGAUCAACAUCUAUAGCCAUGAAAUGUUAAAAGUUAUUAACUUUGACAACAAAUUUGAUAUGUAAGAAUUUUACUUUCAUUAGUUUCUUAUCAGAGGAAGUGACAUUAUUUUCGGAUUUUAAAUUAUCAAGUAACGAAAAAAAAAAAAAAGUAACUAAACACUUUAAUCAUUGUGAUUUUAAGAUUGAUUUUAGAAACCCCUAUAUACUAGUGAACCUCAUGUGAAAGCAGCACGACACUAUUCUUGCUGGGCUCGUACCAUCUACGAUUAAGGCCAAUCUGAUCCAAUUGAAAUCUCUAUACAUCACUUAUUUGGUCAUCAAGAAGCUGUCUUUGAAUUUAUAAAAUGAGGAGUUUGCUAUCUUACCCUAAGGUACAAUCCUCUCACAAAUUUGGUUAUGGGUCUUACUUGGACUUACGACCAGAUACUGUUCAUAUGAGAGGAGAGGACUGCACCUUGCGGAUGUUGUAAGGUAGCCCUCUCCCAUAAAAUGGUUUUUAAAAAUGGAAGUGAAUCUGGUUUCUUCCGCCAUAAGAAGAUUUAAAGCAAUGCAGAAAAGGGACCUCUUUGCCCAACAGGUCACCCUUGGAACUUCAAAUUUAAAAUUUUCAUCAUUAAUUCAAUUUUUUUUUAAAAACAAAAAACAUAAAAGUUAUGCAAAGAGGUGGGGAUCAAUGAAGAACAAAGAGAGUGAAAAAGAAAAAAGUAAGUACUUGAUUGCAUGGGCAAAAUUAAAGAUCAAAAGUGAGAAAUGAUUCCAAAGCAAGUGCCAGAGAUAAAAAGAGCAUCGCCAGUCACCAUAAACACAAACUAUGGUACAUAUAAUCAUCACAUUUAAAGCUACUUUAACUCUCUAAUUACCACAGUACUUUUUUACUGCAUCCUCUUCCUACUUAAUAAAUAAAAUACUUUCUACUUUUUACACAUGCGAAACGGCCUCCGUUAAUUUCUCUCUUGAGUCUCAGCCUCUUUUUUACAUCAUCAGGAAAACUGUAGAAAAUAGGACCAAUAAUUGACUUGCUAGUAUCCCAACCUCCACCUGCAUUUCCACCCACCAAAUCAACACACCAUUAAAAUCAUUUCACUAUUAUUUUAUAUGUGUAUGGCCAAGUGAACCAAAAUGAUAAAUGAAAUACACACACACAUACAUAUAAAAUCAUGACUUACAUAUGCAGAUUUUACGUAACACUUUAACAAUUCAGCAUCAAAUUGGAAAAAUUUAAUUUCAAACUCUUACUAAACAUUAUGUACAAAUCCACAUUUUUAUAAAAACCCAAAACGUUCUCACCUGAUUCACAUGGCCUGAAGUGGGCAAAGGCCGUAUAGUAGCAGAAUCAACUUCACCAGUAGGCAGAGGAACGGCGGGGUUACUGUUAAUGAACGGAAUGCCGCUGCCUUUAUCCGGCACCGUCUCUGGAGAAGUGGCAGCAAUCAUGGGUGCAGGAGUUGGGGAAAAAGCCUUUUCAUGAGGGCGGAAAGGCCACGGAUAAGAUGGAGAAGACGACACAAUGCCUCCGGGAGCCGGCGUCGGAGCCGCCAUCAUCGGAGGUUUUUCCGUUGAAGGGGUUGGUGACGGAGUUGAAGAGACAGCAGAGACUUUUAUGGAGAGCUUUUGUGAGCUUUUAUUGCAUGUUUGAAGAGAGCCGUUGUUGAAUGUGAAGUAGAAAAAUCCAGGGCGUGAUGGGUGCCACUAAUUAUUUUGCAUACAUUAUGAGCAAAAAUUUUAAAAAAUUAAAAAAAGUUAGUAACAAUUUUGAGACAUUUUUCAAUGUACCCCACGUAAAAAAGAAUGCAACUAGAACAUGUUUCCAGAUCCAAAAAAAUUAAAUCAUUUUCAAAAUUUCCAUGUUUUUGUUUCAAAAACAAGAUUUGAAGCUAGCUAGUUACCGUAUAGGAGGUGGAAUUGGGCUUGGUGAGAAGAGUAGCUUGAGAGAAAUUGCAAAGAUUGAAUGCAUUCUUGUUCUUGAAAAUGUAGAGGUUGGAGUUAUUAAACUUGUGUUUGAAAACUGAGAAAGAAAUUAAGAACAGGACAUGUUAGUCAUUGCUAAUUUGGAUCACAUAAAAAAUGUUGUUUUGUUUUCAGAUUACUUACUGAUUGUGUCUCCUACAUGGACACUGGGGUUCUUCCACUCUGAAAUUCCAUCAACAAAAAUUGUUGCCGAUUGAGCCUGUUGUGAGAGAAGAAACAAAACUAGGAAGAUUGGAAGCAUGGAUGAAAUGUCAAGCUUCAUGAACUGAAAUAAUGAACUAAUGAAGUGAAAUGAUGAAGAGGGAUGAUUAAAUCAGAAGGGUUUAUGGCUUUUAUGCACUUGUAAUGGCUCUGUCAAAGGUUUUAAAAGAAAAAGGGGAUUCUGAAAAUUGAAAAAUGUGCAUUAGUUUUUUUGUCUCUUGUUUUUGAGGGGAGACCCUGCAAACUGUCAGACUUUGUUUGAAUGGAUGACAGACAAUGGAUAUGGGAGAUUGUGUGAUUUCAUUUAUUUUAAACAGUAAAAGGUGGCAUGAUUUUGUUUGUUGAAAAACUUUACAAAAAACAGUAAUAAUAAAGAGGAUGAAAUUAGUAUUUAUAAUGUAAUGAUAAAAAAAAUUGAUAAAAGAUGAUGGGGAUUAUUAUUCUAAAAUGAUUAGCUAGUUCUUUGUGAUUAUCACUCUGCAGUCUUUAUUUACAUCAAUUUUUAAUUUAAAUAGUUUUUUUUUUUCUUAUAUGGAGAGGUGAAUGAGUGUGGGGAAUCUAAUUUUACUUUCUUUGAUGAAAUCUUUAACUUUUUAAUUUGGCCCCUUCAGUUUCUUUAUUACUUUAAUUUGUUUAAUGAAGUGAUACGCAUACUUUUUAUUUUGAUGUUUCAAACGAAUAAAAUCUCACUUUCUUCUGUAAUUACAUUGUGGAAUUGAAACCAUAAAUUUAUCUAUAUUAAACAAGACUCAAUACGAAACCCAAUAUAUAUAUAUAUAAAUAUAUAAAACACUUGCAAAACCAGUUGUGAUACGAGUACAGUAGAGUAUGGAAACUUAUUUAAGUUGUGUAUUGGGUUGUAACUUAGCACAUUAAAUUUGUUAUAUGAAAGUUGAAACUUUAUAUAUAUAUAUUUUUUUUUAAGUUUGUUAUACACAGAUGUUACUGACAUUACAUCAGAUAUUACAAUUAAUAUUUACAAUUAUACAUAUAAUUAGGACCACUGCCAUACAUUGAUACACUGAAGCAUUUGCUCAUAUAUUUUAAAACCUCUCUAAUAUUCGAGAGGUGUAUGCUCCACUCACAUUUCGGAAGGGAGAGAAUAUCUCCACUCAAUUAUAUUGAUAAUUAAGGGAGUACUGAAAUUAACUCCUAUAAAACUCUUAUGGAGGCUUGAAUACUUGCACUCAAUAUUGUAAGUGCAAGAUUUCUCCUAGACCAAAGGCCCAUUGGUUGAAAAGCUUAUAUUUACUUACGUGUGCGUGCAGAUGCUCGUUUAAUGAGAGAUACAAAAUGGUAUAAUCCCUUGAAAAAAUAUUGCAAAAUUAGAAAUUAAAACUUUAUUUUUUUUUCCAAUAGGAAUUAUCACCUGAGAUAUUCCGCUGGUAGCUAGUGAAGGGUCAGUAAAAUAUAAUAUGUCAACAAAAUAUAUCAGUUAUUAAGAUAAGAAACUGCAAAUGCUGGAUCCGGAGAAGCUGGUGUAAAUAACAGCAGGGCCGAAUCAUACGAAGACAAGGAUUAAGGGACAAAAAGAAUAAAAAAGAAAGAGGACUAGAACAGGGACAAAAAGAACUUAGGAUACUUAAAAAAACAAUCUUGGAGGAUUAGAAGACAAAAAUAAAAAAAGCUUUCUGGUAUAGUUCCUCCCCCCUUUGUUAUCUCCCAAAUCAUUGUUUCAAUGACAAUCAACAAACUUUAGUAUUGGCCAAAAAGAUAGCUAAAAAAAAAAUAAAAAUUACCGUAUAUUUACACAAAAGAAAAAGAGUCUUAAAUAGAAUAAUUACAAUGAAAUUACAAAGAAAAAAAAGAAUGACGUGGUAAAUCUACCUCACCUAAUAUCUUUUUUUCGAUCUAUAUUUGGCUGAACUGCAUACAAAACAUAAUCAAUUGCAAAAUUGAAAGUUUUCAUGUAAUAUUUGAUAAUCUGAGUAGUAAUACUAAAGAAAGGGGAAUAGUAUAUACAAAUACGUGGCUCGCCAUUCAACAGCAACGGCAACAGCUUUUCUACAAAUUGCAGCUUUCGAAGUGAGAAGAAUGUCAAGACAAGUACUAAAAGACAAAGGAAUAGUAACAAGAGUGCUUCCGGGAAGCAGAUAAAAGAAACUAGUGAUAGAUAAAUAAAUAUUUGCAGAAAAGAUAUUAAAAGCCGUUGAGUGGAUAAAUCGACAGAGAUAAAGCGCCUGUUGCCGUUGCUAUUUCAUUUUCAAUGUCGAUACGAGAGUGCUCUCUGCUGCCAGUCUCGCUCCCACGCUCGCCACUUGCUACUUCGAAACCCUAACCUUCAAUCCUCUAAAGAUUAAUAGUUGCCAUUUAAGAAGCCUUUUUUUUUUUUUAGCGACUAUUGUGUUUUUCAGAGCAUUUCUUUGAAUUUCCUAUAAAUUUCCCAUAUUACAGACAUAAAGCUUACCAUAAGGAAUUUUAUUAUUUAACCAAAAAAAACCUGAGAAAAUUUGUGGAAAUAAAAACACGGCUAAUAAUAAUAAUAUGUUGGCAAGUAAUUUUAAGUCCAUAACUUAUAAUGAGGGCAGAAGCUUUCACGCAUAUUGAUCCAUGUAAGGACAUGCUAGAACUAAAAUUACAAAUGACAUUUCAAGAUAGCAACGGCAUAAACAAGAACAGUGCCAUUGGACUCUCAUAAACACAUAGUCUAGCAUUAGCAGAUAUUCUCAGAUCAUUAAUUACUGAUAUAUUUUGUUGAAACCUAAAUACAGUAUACUGCCAAUCCAGAAUGUACUUUGUUCUCCCAAAUCACAUUAUAUAUAGCAGAAAUCAGGAGAAACAAAUUUUGCAUUGCAACACUCCCUUACUACAUUGAUCUACAUUUGUCAUCAGCCCUCCUUUAUCUCACCUGAUGAAAGUCUCUCUCUCUCUCUCUCUCUAUUUUUUUUUUUUCCUCAAAUAAUAGGGAAUUUUUCUUCACGGCUCGGUGACAAUCCCUUUUCAACUAUAUAUCAAGAACCAUUACUGCUCUGAAGUGAUCAUUGGGUGGAUGUAACUACCAUGAAAGAAGCUAUUUCUCUAUAAGAUGACAUUGCUGCCACAUUCUUUCUAUGCAGGAGAAGCCAGUUCGUAAGUUAUCAUAUCUAAAGCAAAACAUAAUCUACCACUCCGCGGAUUGAACUCUCCGAAGAACACGCGGUGGUCUUUUCUUCUCAACAACUGGAACCACUUUUUCCAUUAGCUGCAGGAGAAUCAAUAAGAAAAUCAAUAAUCAAGUAAUUUAAGCUUUGCUAGCCAUUCUCAUCAUUGUAAUUUACUUUGCAAUAAAACAUUGCUACAUUUGUUCUGUCUAUGAUUUAUGGCAAUUUCAUAAAGCACCAGCAAAGCUACCCACUAGGACAGACUGCUUGACUGAAAAAGCAUGGUAGGAAAAUUAGACGGAAUUGUCAAUGUUUCUAUGCAUAUCAUCCUUGAAUCAAUCACAACAAUGAUACAACUAUACUUGCAGACUUGAAUAUAGUUGAAAUAUAUGGGUUUCUCUAUAUCACUCAUGAAUUAGAUUAUCCAAAAUCAACUUCCAACACUAAAACACAUUAAUUCCCAAAUUUGAUGAAAAGUCAGACAGAGUUGUUUUGUUACCUGCUUGUACCUCUCCUUAGUCCUCUCCGCCUGCACAGGAAGAAAUUUUGUUAGGCAAGAAUAAGAAAAAUCCAUAGGGGUAAAAAAGAACUUGAAGAGAGCUAACACAAUUAGUAUAGCCUCCAAUAUGCAUUUACAACUGGGCUUUCAUAUUAGAAAAAGGGGAUAAAAUUAGACCUCCUAAACCACAGCAAACUAAUGGAACAUAAGAGAGUGUAUAUGUAAUUGUUCAAUGCAAACAACAUAGUGUUAUGGUAAAUAUCUUAAAUUAUAUGCAUAAACCACUAUGCACUCGUGAUGCCACAAAUCUGAAAAAAGCUAAAUUGAAUUUAAGCAAUCAUCGGUAAUAAAACUCCCAUCUAGACAUUAUCUGUCAACUUCUAUGAGAAUGGGAUGAAGGUUGGAAAAGUACUGCAAGAGAACGAUGAAAGUUAGAAGUGAUCUCCAACUCCAAGUGAUUGCUAUCAUCAAUAAUUUUCUUCAAUUCUUAGUAAAUAAAUACCUCACAUAACAUCUAUCCUAGAAAACAUAACUAAUGAUUUAUAUAACAAUGUUUUUAAUGCAUGAUUUGUCCGACAACUAACUGUCAUUAGGGAUGUCCACAUAAAGUCUGUAACCAGUGUGGAAACAAUUUAUAAAUAAUGUGUGAAUAAUUUUUUUCAGGAAGCAGUGCUGCACCACUACAACCACAAAUAUAAGUUACUUCAAUAAGUUUACAUAUAUAGAUACACACACUAAGAAAAUAAACUUAUUAAUCUGUGCAUCAAGAACAGAAACAGAAAAUACAGGAAUGGCUCCUUCGUCCCCUAAUAGUUAAGCAUCUGUUGUUUUUUAUCUAGCAAACAACUUUGUUGUUUGGACCACUGAAAUCAAACAAAUCUUAAAGUUUGCUUCUCCAAGGAAAGAUUUCAAACAAGUAUUGAAAGUUAACUAAUUAAAUCACCACAUAUUUCAGAACUUCUUAGCUUGUGCUAUUGGUAACCUAACAAAAUUUCAGAAGACGAGGACAGGAAUUAACAGUUAAGAUAAGACGUCAUAUUCAAAAUAGAUCACCCACAUACAAUAAUCAAAAAAACCAAAUCAUUUAAAUUUAAGGCAUGUAAAUACUAGAAUACAAUCUUUCAAAUACCUUUACAUGGUAGAAUGUUAACUUGAGGCAGAGACAAUGAACAAAUAAUUCAUAACACUAUCUGAAAACUGAUAAAUGACAUGACCAAGCAUGCUUGCUAUGUGUUAUUGAUCAAUUUAUUAAUCUUACAAACUCUCUUCAGCAUUGGUAACAUAUCUAAUUACCUUUUCUUUCAACAGCUGCUCGUUUUCCUCCUCGAGCCUCACUGCCAAAGAUUCUAAUUCCACUUGAUAAGCCUGCAGAACACCAAAAAUUCCAAACCCAUCGAUCAACAAAACAAUCAGGAUAUGUUUGGAAUUGAGUUGCAGCCACGACCGCUAUAAAUUGAAAUCAGAGACAGUGAAGUACAGAUGGGUAGGUGUUUAUCAAACGCUUCAGCUGAUGUGCUAUCAAAUCAAAAGCCUAAUUAGAACAGAGUUUUGUGACCUGUUUCCUUUCCCUGGACCUAGCAGCGGACUCUCGGUUCUUGAUCAUCCUCCGUUGCCGCUGCUGCGCUGCCUUAUCCAAUGGCUCCAACAUCACUCUCCCUCUCUUCCCUCUCCCGCCAACAACUUCCACUCCAUUUCCAAACCCAACAAUGGCCCCUUCAACCUGAAAGGGACUCGCCGCCGCCGGCUGAUCAAACGCAUAAACUCCACCACUCAACCUCUCAGUAACAUUCGCAAAAGCUUUCACGUCCAUGUCAUCACCGCCAGCACUAUCCUCAACAGCUCCCGCCUUUGCCAAAAAAUCCUCCAAAGUCAUCAUUUCGUCAAUCGCCUCCUCCUUCAUCUCCUUCUUCUCCCCCGAUACGAUCUCCCUCCACACGUCGUCCACACUCUUCAUCGCCCCCGCCGAGACGGCGCCGUUCUGGUCGUUCUCGUUCGCGAUCAGAUUCGAGUUCGUGUCGACCAGAGUGAUUUGCGCGUCGAGAAGAGUUGCGUCCGUCGUCGACGCCGUCGUCGUGUUGUAGACGUUCCGUAAAAUGCCGUCCACCGUCAUUGCGGAAGCGAACUUCGACGCGUCAGUUAGUGCCUCUUGCUGCUGCUUUGUAGAAGAAGAAGAAGCAGUAGAGGACCGUUUUGAAAGAUCCGAAUUUCGUGUGUUUGAAGAUUUCAUGAUUUUAGAGGACGCCAUUUUAGGGCUAAUCCUCAGAGAUUCUCUCUAGAAUUUUUCUUUGUUUGCGUUAUAUUAGUUGUACUUUUACAAAAAUUUUAGGGUUUUGGGAAUCUGAUAAUUUGAUUUCUUGAUUUUGGGGAUGGUUUGUUACUCUGUUGGGAUCGGGGAGAGUUGAGGAUUUGACUGUUUUGAGUUUUAAGCGUUGAGUAAGAGAAAAGCGCGUGGGUUUCGUUUCGUCGUGAGAGGGAAAUGUUAGAAUUACGGACAAUAGCGGUGACUGUGACAAGAAACGGAGCGAAUCCGUCCGUCCACUCCUCGAUAGGACAAUGAGAUAUCACAUGUGAGUUUGUGGGGAGCCGACUGUAGACCAUUUCUACGAAUUUUUUUUCUUUUGAGAUGAUAUUUUUCAAAUUUUUUAAUUAUGGUAUGGGUGACGUGUCGAUCACCGUGCAUUGUGGCGCUCUUUGUAGUUUGGAUCUUCUUUGUUUCGUACUGGGUGACUGACUGAUGACUGUGGGCUGAAGAAAUGGGUCUGAUGUAUUGGGCUUUAAAUUUGCAACAUGAAUUAUUUAUUUUAUACCAUUUUCACAAAUAACAUGAACAUGAUAUUUAAUGAUAAAGUUAAAACAAGAAUAAUCUAUUAUAUAACAUAAUAAUAAUAAUUUUAUUAGUUAUAAAAUUUAUCAUAUUGUUAUAAUAUAUGAGUGUAUGACACAUAUGAUUGGAUCCAAGUGUUGGAAUACUCUGAUACGAAUACUUUUAAAUCUUAUAUAGAGUGUAUGGUCUUAAUUAUAAUAUAAAAUAUAAACCGCCCCCCACAUCCCACCCAAAAAAAAAAAAGCCUCAAAAAAAUUUACUUCCCAAAAUCUGAUUAAGUGACCCGAUUACUUUUGCACGCCCACAACAUGAAUCGUGUGUUCUAUUUGCAAAGAAAAUUGAUGUAAAUGGCCUAAAAUAUCAGUUAUAAGAUACAAGCAGCCGCCCGUUACCAAAAUUUGGGCACGGUGCCUGUGACUUUUAGACGUUACACCUAAUAUAAAAUACACACACGCAUAUUAUGUUACAAGAAAGUUAAGGUGAAGUAGCACAAAUUUAUUAAAUAUUGAUCGAUCAAUUUCGUGUCCGAGUUAACAAAUUGCGUGCAAAAUCCCGAUCACUCUGAGACGCACACUCUUGAAGUUGAGAUCUCCACGCAUAUCUCUUCAAGUUAAGCUCAGGGUUGAGAUUGAGGUUAUCUUCAAUGGACUUCCAAGAAGUUUAUUGAUUACUUGCAUGCAUUGCUUUCUCUUUCUCUCAAAUAAUAUGCAUGUUUUCUCUUCCACAUGAAAUGCCCACGUAAAAACCUUCCACGUGUAUACCAAAUCCACUUUUUUAAAUCUUUUUUUUUCCUUUUAAAUAAGUGAGAUGUAUAUAGACGGAGAAAAUGUUUGGAGUUUCACUUAAUUUUCGUUAUUAAUCAGAAAAAAAAGUUUAAAUAAAAGACGUAAUUUGGCAGCAGAAAAAACAUGAAGUUGUUAGGCGCAGCAAUUUGUGCCUUUACAGGUUUCUUGCCAACUAUUCUUUGCUCAAACCCUCAACGUUCCUUCAACCGUUCUCGAAACCAAACCCUAACUAAUUAUUUAAAUUAUUUCCACUUGCUUUGCCGUGAAUGUACAUUUAUACCCCUCCUACAAUUAUACAUAUGAAUCAUUUAAUUAAAUAAUUUUCUGAAUUUCUUCCACCUUUUUCUUCAAUAAUUGUAUAUAUUAAUUCCAAUUAAUCUAAUUAAAUUGAGAUGGAAAAACUCGAUUUUAUAAGUGAUAUAACUCAGCACGCAAUUCUAUUUGGCUCCACAUCUAAGAAUCUUUAAAUUAAUUUCUUGUAAAACUCAAUUUUAUAACUGGUGUCAAAGGCAAUAUUAAUGAUCAUCAUAACUGAAACACACGUACCCAUAUCUCACAGUUCGCAAGAAAGUGUGGCAAUCAUUCAAAAAAUCAUAAAAUUUCACCACAAUAAUUAGGUACUUUUUCUCUUAGAAAAGAGAUGAAAAUUUUCUCAAUUUUUCAUUUUAAAUAUCAAAAGUAUCUAGAAACUAAAUAAAAAACUAAACCCCCGAGUCUUGGAUAUUUUAACUUCUUUAACCUUAAAUUUGAAAGGAAAAUGUUAUUUUUCCCGGGUCAAACCCCGAAUUAUUUCAAAAUGGCGUCGUUUUGGCUUUUUUUUUUUUUUUCUUUUCUUUUUGGUUGCAUGAAACGUAGUCGUUUCAUCUAGUAAAAAGAAAAUAAACUAAAGCAUUUUCCUAAGGCAGAGAAACGAAGACGCUAUGCAGAGAAACAACUACUCUUAGCUCUUCUUCUUCGAUUUUUCAGUCACCAGUGUUGAAGCUCUUCCUCUUCGAUUUUUCAACAGCUGUUUAAGCUCUUCCUCUUUGAUUUUUCAGCAGCUGUUAAUAUUUUCUGACAUAAGACUAAAUUUCGACAUUUGCACAAGCUAAGGUACGAAUCUUAAAAUUUUCGAAGUUUCAAUUUCGAUUACGAAUUUCUAUCUCAUUUUUGUUGUCAAGUUUGUAUUAAAUCAGCACAAUUUCCAGACCAAUUCAAGCACAAAUUGUAGACCAACUCAAGCACAAAUUCCAGACCAAUUCCAGCAUAAAUUGCAAACCAAUUCAGCACAAAUUCCAUACCAAUUCAAGCACAAAUUGCAGACCAACUCAAACACAAAUUUCAGACCAAUUAAAGCACAAAUUACAGACUAAUUCAGCACAAAUGCAGACCAAUUCAAGCACACAAAUUGCAGACCAACUCAAGCACAAAUUCCAAACCAAUUUAGCACAAACACAAUUAUUUCCUUCACAUUUAAUUUCAACCGAAAAUUAAAUAAAACGAAAAUUGAUAGCUAUCAAAAUUGUCCCCAUUUUACCGUAACCUAGAAAAGCUAAAGAUCGAAGCAUUACCUGAGGCUGUGAUAACUGUGACGCUUCGUGAGUUCAAUGAGGGAUGCGUGUGAUGGCUGCCACGUUGACGGUGACCGUGCCUGCGCGAAUGGCAGAAACUUCCAGAUUUGGGUGGAAAAAGGAAGACGAGAAAACGAAGAGGGGAAGAUGAAAACGAAGAGGAGAAGACGCAAAUGAAGAACGAAUAGGAGAGCUUUUGCUAGGGUGAAACGGUAGCGUUUCAAAUAGAAGAGGAAACGGCGUCGUUUUGCUUUAGUUUUCGGGGUUUGACCCGGGGCAAAUAGCAAAACUCAAUUUGAAAUAUUGAGAAAUGCUAUAUAUAUUAAUAUAUAGUUGUGAGAGUUUUGCCGCAUUAGUGGUCCUGCCCAGUUCGAAUAUGAAUUAAUCAGGGUCUAAUAUGGUUUUUGGAUACCAGAUAAUUUAAUACAUCGAAAAAAAAAUUAAUAAGAUGAUGCUUUAAUACAACAAUAAUAACGAAGAUCCAUGCUAAUAGUUGGAUACACGAAAGAGGAAACAUAGAUUAUUGAAGAAUGAUGAUGAAGAUAAUGACAAAUUAAGGACAAUGAUCGCUCACAAGUUUCUUUUGGUUUUCGGCAAUAUUAAUUCCUAUUAACACAUGUGUAGCCACACAACUCAUAAUCAUAUAUAAUAAACAAACUAAUCAAGGGCAUGUUGGUAGUUUUGGACAAAUAUUUCUUCAGCCUCCAAGAUACCGUUUAGGUGUUAGAGAAAAGAAUGGAGUGUAAAGCUUACAAAAUCAUGCAACAGGAUAAACACAAGUUAAAUUAUGAAUGAUGAUGGAGUGAAUGAAGAAAUAAAGCCAACGACAAAAUUAAAGGAGGCUACCAGAUGCAAUAAAGGUUCCUCAUGAGACGAGGGCUGCUCAGCAAAUUUAGCCUUAAAGCUUGCUAAGAAUUUGGAUAAGUGAUUAAAAUUCUCUUUCUCUUUCUCUUUUGAUCAGAUUAGAUAGAGUUACCAAAGAGAGCGUUCAAUACAAUCCUUAAAACGCCUUUAAUAAUUUAGAGGCUUUAUAUAAAUGUGUGUAUUUUUGUUCAACUGACAAGCCUAGGAAGUUGAAUAUACCUGCUCAUAUAUAAUAUUUGCAUAAUACCCUUCAGUAUUUUCCUUUUAGGAAUCUUAAUUUUGUAUAUUCUUAGAAGAGAAUGAUCCAAUUGUGGGGUAUUUAAUUUUCUCACUGGAAGUGAGAACUCUGUUUGGUUUUUCUAAAUUAGUCUAGGAUAUAUCUUCAACUUUAUUCUUAUAUAAUUUAUAGGAAUUCAAUAAGAUGUGGGCAAAACUUAGAGCUGCAAACUCCAGAAGAGGUAUCUUCUAAUAGUGCAUGCACAAGCACACACGCAUCAUAUUAAUUGUUGCUUGUUUUAAUUUAUUACCAUCUUCUAUAUAUCAUUGACAACGGGACAAUCAUCAUGAGUUUUGCCCAAAUUUAUGCUUCUUCCAUGAAACAAAUUUUUUUCAUAAAUAUAUCGAAAUAAAGUGAAAUUUUGUUAUACUGAUUUUUUUUUCUUUUUUUUUUUUGUGUUCUUUCGGGUACUUGUUCCUUUUUAUCAUAUCAAAUUUAUGUAUAAGACAUAAGAAAGAAAAUGUUUAGAAUAAUUUACUUACAUAAAAUUUGUUAUUUAUUCAAUUAUUUGCAUAUUUUUCUCAUAGGUUGCUUGUUUUCCUCAUCUCAAAUUACAUGCAUGAAAAGAUUUCCUCAUCUCAAAUUUUUAUGUACCAUGUGUAUCUUUGAUGACUGAAAUAUUAAUUAUUCGUUAUAUUUUUUUUUUUAUUAUCUAUAUACAUCUUGAUAUCUAUAACGUCAGUUGAUAUUUUCUACAUAUAUCUUAAUUUCAGAUGACAAGGAAUUGAGAGAAGCAAGAAAAAGCCUGAACAUUAAUGAAGAAUAUCUCAGCGCACUAAGAACAAAAUCUUUUGCCGAAUGCUUCUCCAAGGCUCAAUUAUUCGUUACCGAGCCAUCCUCUCCAUCCUGCCGCCAUGAAAAUUUUUCUGAAAUCUUGCUUGAACCCGAUCAAGACACCAUACCAAGCAUUCUUGAAUCAGCUGUUCUUUCAAAGGUGCCCGAACUCAAAGACCUCUUGCUUAAUUACUUUGAUAUAAGUGCUGAAGCGUCAAGCAUUUGUGGCCAGCUCCUCAAGAACAUCAAUGAUGUUCGAUAUGAGUACCGGUUCAUUCAACUUGCCCUAGAUACGGCUGAUGAUGAUCAAACAGAACCUCACGAUAAAGUUAAGUUGAUUGUUUCAAACUUGAACUCGUUGAUUAUUUUAACCAACCCGUUUUCCAAUCCGAGUACGAAUGAAUUCAAGGUCAUUCAUGAUAAGUACUCUUCCGUGUUGCACAAUUUGAAAUCAAAGAGAAAAAAGGUGGCAAGAAAAAUUAAGCUGAUUAAUUAUGUGCAUAAGGCAAGUGGGAUUUGCAUAACAGCAGUCUGUAGCUUAAUUGCUAUAGCAGCUGUUGUUCUUGCAGCACAUGCACUCACUGCCCUACUCAUCGGGCCAAUGAUUUUAAGCUUCCCCACAAAGUGCUUCAAGAAAAAGCUCUUCAACUUUAGAUUCCUCAGAAGUGGGUUCCUAAGAAAAGUGAGGAAGCAGCUUGACGUGGCAGCCAAGGGGACUUAUAUCUUGAAUAGGGAUUUUGACACGAUGGGGAGACUUGUUGCUAGGUUACAUGAUGAAGUUGAGCACAACAAGGUAAUGAUUCGAUUUUGUUUGGAUAGACGAGAGGAUAAAUUUGCUUUGCAUGUAAUGAAAGAGAUUAAGAAGAAUCAUGUUGGGUUUCAAAAGCAAGUUGAAGAGCUUGAAGAGCAUGUGUAUUUGUGCCUUGUUACUAUCAAUAGGGCAAGGUCUCAAGUGAUUAAGGAAAUGGUGACAAGUUCUUCUUGUGUGGAAGAAUUAAGGUAGUUACAGCAAUUAUAUACAAGAAAUGUGUUGUAUAAAGUGUAAAUUAAAUUUUCUUUUUCUGUAAAAUAUAAAUAUUAUAUUUAAGCUCUUAGUUAUGAAGAAGACUACUAUUUGGAACAUCAAUUUAAAUUAGAUCAGAUUGAAUUCGAUAGGACUGUAUAAUGGUCUUUUCAUUGAAUGAAGUGAUGUAUUGGAAAAUUUUAAAAAUAUUGUAUUUGAAUGAACUAAUUUAAAUUUAUUUAUUACAUUUUCUAUGGAGUUUGGUUUAUAUGGUAGUGUAUGUAUUUGAAUGAUGCUUUUUAAUAAGUGAUGACUAUGACUCACCAAUUACCCACAUUGAUAUCGUUUCAUAAAAUUAAUUCAUGAUCAUCUAUUACCAACUUAUACUCAGAUUAGAUAAUAAUGAACAUUUUACAAUUUUCAACACUUAUAUAGAAGGUUUUUUUUUUUUUUUAAGAAUUUCCAAGACACAUACUCAAAUAAUUCUUUAUUACUCAUUAUCGUAAAAAAAUAGCACGCGGGUUUCCUUUCUCGAAUUCAAUAACUGCGAUUUCAAUCUUAAAAUAUUUGUUUUUGGUUUUUUGAUGCAGAAACAUGUCACAUGCGACACAAUCGAUCCUGGAAUUUGAUUGGGCCGAGGUUAGGCAUGUCCAUGGGAUGACAACUGUGGCCUCGAACAAGAUCAUAGCCAAUUAGCCAUUAUUAUUUUGGGUACAAUCUUAUGAGUAAAUGCAACUGAUAAUUAUUAUUAAGGUUCCAACUUUUUAGAUUAAAAAUUAACAUAUCACAUCUGUACAAUAAUUGUAUAGAACAUGAAUUGAAAAUUUAUGUUAAUAUAGCCGAGGUUCACUCUAAUUUUUUGAGAGAAAAAAUUGUUCUCGAAUUCUUCUUAUGAAAGAUUAAAUGUAAAUAAGAGAAUUUAUUUGUAGAUGAGUUCGUCAUCUGUCUAAAAUGAUUUCUAUUAAUAGUUCAUUAGCUUAACUUCUUUUAAAUUUUAAUGGAUAUUUAAAGCUCACACGUAAUCAACUAUAAGAAGACAAAUAGAUAAUAUAUUGAAAUUUUAAUAACUUAUUUGAAAAAAGAAAAAUUAAUGCACUCCAAUCUUUUAAGAAGACACAUACUUUUUUUUAAGGUAGGUACACACAAAAUUUUUUGAGCUCUUUAUAAAUAAAUAAAAAAAUUGUCAUCAACACUCUUGACUUUUUACUAUUAAAACAUGUCACACUAAACAAUAAAAAUAAAAAAUUUUCUACAUAAAAAAACUAACUUGUAAAACAACAAACAUUUUAGUAAUAAAAAAACAAACUUGUAAAACAACAAACAUUUUAGUAAUAAUUUAAUCACGGUUCUUAAUCCGCUGCGGAAUAUCCCUUUCUAGAGCCUUUAUUUGAUUGUUGAACUAAUUUAAUGAUGAUUAAAAAAAGUUAAAUUAGGAGAGAGAGAAACCAACACGAGCCUGGCUUACUUUCAACGAGAAGUGCACAUGUGUCCUGAGGAGAGAGAGAGAGAGAAACCAUCCAAAUGCAUCCAAUUAGGAGCUGGCUAAGCUGGAUCCGUAAGUUACAGAUUCUGUAACUUAAGCCAGCUCCAUAAGAAAAAAACAACACGAGCCUGGCUUACUUUCCUGCAUGGAAAUUGAAUCGAGCCAACCAAGCCAGCAGCAGUCCCGAAGAUUCCGAAUCUCAAGAUACCCGUUAAUAUCUUUUUAAUAAAUGUUUAACAGACGGAAGAAAUUGUAGAAGCACCGUUUACACAUAUGAUACAACUAUAAAUUCUUGUAUAAAUUUAUUUUGUACAAAUUGAUAUGGCAUGAUAAGAUUAGUUAAAUUAAAUAUCACUUGACCCACAUAAUUUGUUUUUAUUAAUUUAUAUUUUUAUUCAACCAAUAAAUUAAUGUCACGUCAGUUUGUACAAAAUAAAUUUAUACAAGAGUUUGUGGCUGUAUCAUUACUCUUUAUAAUAUGUGUAAACGGUGGUCCAAAAUUCGUAACGAGACACGUGUCACGCGAGGUCCAUCUAUGGUUUUCUGGAUACCGCACCCCAUUGGGCAUUGUCAGUUAAUAAAAUGAAAUUAGUGAAAAUAAUAAUCACGUCACUCAUAUUCACCAAAAAAUAAAUUGAUAUCUAAAUAAAAUAAAAUUCCAAAAUAUGUAACGUUCGAAAAGUGCUUAACUUCAAAUAUUUGAAGUAUGCAUAACAAAAUAGGUUACACACGUUUUUGCGUAAUUAUCAAAGAUUGUAUUAUGAUUUUGAAAGAGAAGGUUUAUAAUACAGUCGUAAGCAUCACAAUAUGAUAAUGGAGUCAAAUAAUUUUUAGAGAAAAAGAGUUAUGAUUAUAAAUUAGUCACUGUCAGAUUUUAUAGUACGAUCACAGUCUCGUGUUAUCGCAACAAAAUUAUAGCUUGACCCGUAAUCUGUAACUGUAGAAAGCCAAUCUUUUCUUUACCCCUCUCAUCGUCAUUUGAUCUCCCAGCAUCAGCAAAACCCUCAUUUAAAAAAAAAGAAAAUCACCAUUGGGUCCAUUUUUGGACAAAAUAUUCUAUCAUUUUUCGCCCCUCUCAGCACAAAAGUUCUAUCUUUUUUACUGGGUUUGCAAAAUCGUACGGCCUUUUUAAAUAUUUUUCAGCACAUAGUUCUAUAUACGGUGCUUCUGCGUGUUCUCUUCAACGAAUUAGUUUUAUAUUCACGAUUAAACGAAAUAGGUGGCCUUUUUUACUAUUCUUGCAAGUAAUUAACCAGGGAGGAGUUGUUUUUUUUUUAAAAAAAAAAAAAUUUGUUUCACGUUUUAUUAGUCUUUUGGUUUCAUAUUUUGAAGUACUUUUAAUAGUAAACGUUAUGUGAAGGUUUGCAUAAUCUUUGUUGAUUUUUGCGUUCGUUCAGUGAUUAAAUUUGCUAAUAUUUUUUUCCCCUCCACCUACCAUUCUCUGCGUGUGAUUGACUAGUGGGUCUGUUUUCUUUGGUUUUAUUGGUGUAAAUAUAUCUUAAUUUUAGCAUUUUACAGUUGAUAAUUUAUAAAUUGUUUUGGACUUUGGUGGCAUUUAGCCACUCUGUUUCGACCCCAGAAUCUUGAUUCUGGGAGCUUUUGUUUGGGGUGUUUGUACUUGUGGGUUUCUGACUUUUUGAUGAAGGGUUCUGGAGCUCUUUGGUGAAUGUUAAUAUUCGGGGGUUUUUGUUGAAGGGUUUUAGGGAUAGUUUGAUUUGGAGUCUUUGGGAAAAUGGGGAAUUGUUUGCUGGUGGGUUUACUUGUUGCUGUUGUUGUCUCUCAUUUUGAGUUUUUGAAUUUUGGUGAUUCUGUUGUUAUAAGGUUUUUGAGUUGUUGGUCUGGUUAGCUGCAAUUGCUGUUCAAUUCAGAAAUUUGAGCAGUGAGAACUUAGAUUAGGUUGAGUUGUAGUGGCGAUUUUAGUGGUGAUUUUUUUUGUUAAAGCUACGCAUUUGAUAUAAUGAGGAGUAAUGGGUUUGAUCAUCCACUAAAAGAUGUAGACAAGGAGGAAGGUGUUAGAGGGAGCAAGACACUGAACAAGGACUUGGGGCAGACUGAUGGUAUUGGUGAACCAAUGAACAAGGAAUAUAUGUCUUCAGAAAAAGAAUACAAUGCACGCGCUUUUCAGAGUUUAGAAAAACAGAAGACAAAUUCAUUGGAGCAGUCACCAGUUGUGGGGAUUUCUCUGUCUAAAAAGGAGGAUGUUCAUUCUUCACCUCGAGCAAGUUAGUAUCAGAAAAAAAUCUUGUUUGUAUUUAUGCAUUUAGAGCUUAUAAUUGACAUUGUUAAAUCUUCUAGGUGAAACUUUUACAGUGGUUAAUUUCAUUGGAUGCUCAUUGCCAACAAUUUAAUUUAUUACUGAAUUAUAGAACUUUAGAGUGUAAUCUGGGCUGCGCAUCUUGAUUCUGUAGUUUUGUGAUACGCAGCUGAACAAUUACUUAGUUGUUUAUUCGCAUCUUUUGGUAGAGAGUAUAAGUUUAUGAAACAAUACUUUGUUUUUUGAGUAUAAAAACUUAAUGGCCAAACUUCAGAACUAGAUAAAUGAUGAAUGUUAUCACUUUCUUCAUCUACAACCUUUAUUAAGAUGUUUACUGACGCCAUAUUAUCGGCUGUUUGAAGGUUUGGAUCAUUGCAUUACUGCACCUAUUACACGUAGAGAUUCACUUACUGAUAUGAAUGAGUUCAGAUACUCAAGGUCCAUGACAGAGAAGAAGUCGAUUCCGAGGCAUGACCUGAAAUUGGAUAGACUGUCAGAGCGUGAAAAGGUAUAUAACAAAAAUCUCAUGCAUGUGACGAGUUUUUCUGCUCCUGCCUACUCAAGAGCAUGAAAAGGUAGAUAACAGAUUCACUCGCACAUGACUGCAAGUUUAAAUGCUAUUGCUUGCUUGUAUAUGUUCAAGUUUAUCAUGAUGCAACAGUUGCCAAUGUGUUUCCUAGAUGUUGCAAUACAUAUCUGGCUUAUUUCUCUAACUGCAUACAUAGCACACUGAAUGCGCUUCCCCCUGAUUUCUUUUGAGGGAAAAUAAUAGCUCUUAUAUUUGAUCAUCCUAUGUCAAUUUAAUCCCUAAUGUUGAGAAAGAAUAUUGAAAGUAUUGUUUUAUGGACAUCAUUAUUUUGUAAUUUAACAAUUGUGGAACUUGUUGUCUGGUUCUUUCUCUUGUAAUGAAGUGGUUAACUAGUUCUUUCACAUUUUGGGACAAUCUGUUAUGGUUUUUGGUUAAACAAUCAUUCUUUUACGUUCUCGAUUAUGGAAGGCGUAACGAAUGCUUGUCUUUUUUUAUCUUGCCCUCAAUGUGUCUGUAUUUGUUUCCAAAAUUAUCUUUCUUCUAUGAUACUUGAUUUCUACAAAUCUUUUCCCCUCAGAAAAAGCUGAUUGUGGAACUAGUCAGGAUUCAAAAUGACGGGACUGUAGAAGUGGAUUUAGAUAAAAGUGCACCUGUAGCUUCAGAGUUUUUGGAAUUUCAACCUGUCGAAGGGCCACCUAUCAUUUUGGAUGACACCAGUUUUUCUGAUUCCAAGAAAUCGAUCCCAAGAUUGAAUAUUGCCAUACUUGUGGUUGGAACAAGAGGAGAUGUACAGCCAUUUCUGGCUAUGGCCAAGAAACUUCAGGCAUGCUUGACAUGAUUCAUUUUUCUUCCAGUUCAUGUUUGUUAAUAUUUGUGCUGUCACCACAAGUUUUUAUUUUCAAUGUAAUCUUAUUGCAUUAUGUAAGAGGUUAGGAUCAGCUUCUUUUGAGAUUUUAUUCUAUGCAUAAACCCUUUUGAAGGUUUCAUAUCGAGGCUUCUACAUGAUUUGAAUUAUUGAUCACUGUGUGUGAGUUAUGUCUACAUAUAUGUGGUUCCAAUGACGUUGUAUCUUAAUUGAUCUUCCAGCAUUUAAUUUGUGGUAGAAAAGCCUAGAUAAUUACAUAUUUUCUGUAAUAGUAAUCUAAUUAUUUGUAGUAAAAAAAUGUGUUUGGCCUUUUUCUGCAGGAGUUUGGUCAUCGUGUUAGGUUGGCAACCCAUGCUAACUUCAGGACUUUUGUAAGGUCAGCCGGGGUAGACUUCUUUCCUUUGGGCGGUGAUCCUCGGGUUUUGGCAGGAUGUAAGAGGACCCUUACUUGAAAUUUUUUGUUUUAAUCUUUAACUGCAAUAUACUUUCUUUUUUUUUCGGUGGUUAUUUUGUUAUAGGAUCCAUGAUUUAUUGUUCUUUGUUAGGUAACUCCUUUGUGUUCUUUUCUUUUAGAUAUGGCACGGAAUAAAGGUCUGAUCCCUUCUGGACCGGGAGAAAUAUCGAUACAAAGAAAGCAGAUAAAGGCCAUUAUAGAAUCUCUUCUUCCAGCAUGCACAGAUCCGGAUAUAGAAACUGGUGUACCUUUUAGAUCUCAGGCAAUUAUUGCAAAUCCUCCUGCUUAUGGUGAGUCCAUGGGAAUGGAAUGCUGUAUUUUGCCUUAGUUGUAUAGUUAAAUGUUUACAAGAAAAUUUGUAAUUGUAUUUAUACAUAAGAAAUUUAAGUCCAUCCAUGGGGCAGUUGAACAUGAAUUUUACAUGAGGUCUACUUAAGCUGGAAGUUUGGGCAUGUAUGUUUCUCUAAUCCAUCUGAGUCCACUUUGAUAAUUGAGUCCUUGCUCAUCCCUCAUUGGUGCACAUAAUUUUGGAUCUUGAUGACAGUUGCUCAAGUGCAAAUAUUUGAUAGAAUAUUUAUUUUAAGACCUUUAAUUUGCUAUUUAAGCGUGAAUGGAAUUGAAAACAGGAAAAAGAACUGAUUCUAUAUCCAUAUGUUUUUUCAUGGUGAGGUAUCUCUUUAACCGAGCAUGAAAAUGAUAUUUGCUUGUUUCUGAGAGGGAACAAUUAUGCAAUAAGGAUAUGGAGCCAAAAGAGGAAGAACAAUUAUGAAGAUGAGGGCUGCAAAUGAAAUGCAUCUUAAAAUCAUUAGAUAAUCCCCAGUUGUUGACUAGUUAAUAAAUUACUUUCAGUUGUCUUUAUGCAGCUCGAAGUCAUAUAUGAUUUCAUCAGAAUUUUGUCAUUCAUGAUAACAUUUAUGAACUUACACUGCAAUUUUGAUUUUUCAUCUCAUUGAUCUCAUUCUAUUUUAAUUAUUGAUAUAUUUUUUUGAAUGGUGUAACAUUAAAUUUUGACAUCUUCUUUGGAUUGCAGGGCAUGCCCAUGUUGCUGAAGCUCUUGGUGUACCCAUUCACAUUUUCUUUACGAUGCCAUGGACGUGAGUUUUGACUAUCCUUGCACGUCAAUAUGUGUUUUAUAUUGCUUUUGUAACCCUAGUAUGAGGCCAUAAAUGUCGAACAUUUUUAAACUUGAAUACAAUUUCAUUGAUAAAAUAAUAGAACUCAAAAUACUAUUGUUGUUCCCUGACCUAUUAGCUUAAGUUUUUGGGUUGAUUGCUUUUUCAAUCAGUUUUUGUGUUGGCCUGUUAUAGCUUAAAAUGUACCAUUGUGAUUUUAUCUGUUAACAUAAGCUUUUGAGUAUGAUGAUAACUUAAUAAGUACACUUGAAAAACAAUGAAAUAGUUUAAUUCUUUCCAGUGUUAAACUCUGUGACAUUGUCUGAUACUGUUUUUACUAGGUUGAAAUUAUUCAAGCAUAACAUCACUUCUUUCCUUGAAUUAUAUUUGGAGAGUGUAUUUGCAAAUUUUUCCUUUCAAGUAACUUAAAUUGGUCUUCCAUGUCAAGAACAAUGAAUUGGGUACAUGUCACAUGUGGUACCUUGACUGAAAAGAAUUCAAACUCUUGGGGAAAGGAGGAUUUGCUGAAAAAUAUGGCACGCAUAAAUCCUUUGUGCAAACAUGAUUACAAAAACGUUGACAUUGUUAAAGAACAGGGUUGCUGCAUUCUGGAUUGUCAUUUUCUGACUGCCAUGAAACUAAAAAUGCAGCAGGGCAAUUUUAAAUGGUAAAAUGGGGAGAUAUAGAACAAGAGCUAGUAUGAAUCCAAAUACGCAUGAGAUAAGUCAUGGACAACUGCAUGUUAUUGUCAAAAGCUGGUUAAUAUCAAGUAAAACUUUGUUUGAGACUUCCUACUUACUUCUAUUCUCAAUAGACAGGCCAACUUAUGAAUUUCCUCAUCCGCUGGCACGUGUACCCCAAAGUGCUGGAUAUUGGGUAUGUUCUUGACUGUGGCCAGUCCACCUUUUUUGCUCUCGCCUUUUUCAAUGUUGGUUUUUCCACUUUGUUGGUCAUGCCUGCUUACUUGCAUUGACAAAUCUGCCUUUACUGUCUCAUACUUGCUGAAUCCAGCUUUCUUAUAUAAUUGUGGAUUUGCUGAUAUGGUGGGGCAUUAGGAGCUAUAUUAAUGACUUCAGGAAAAGGAAGUUGAAGCUUCCCCCUAUUGCAUACUUCAGUACAUACCACGGAUCUAUAUCUCAUUUGCCAACAGCCUAUAUGUGGAGUCCCCAUCUUGUGCCAAAGCCAAGUGGUGGGUUUAUUACUGACAAUGGAAAUAUUUGCUCUUUCUAUAGGAUUGACUUCGUUCGCCUAUUGCAGAUUGGGGCUCUUUAGUUGAUGUUGUUGGAUAUUGCUUAUUAAACCUUGGGUCGAAGUAUCAACCACAAGAAAACUUUGUUCAGUGGAUUCAAAGAGGACCCGAACCUAUUUAUAUAGGGUUUGGUAGCAUGGUAUGUGAUCUCACUAAAGCUUAUUGAAAUGAUUUAUAGUUCAAAUUUUCUUUGUUAUGUUUUCUUAUAGUUCCUUGUCAUUGUUGGAGGCCAUCAGGCCAAUAAACUGCAUUUUGAUGAUUUAGUGGGAGGGUUCCACAUUCCAGUCAGAGUAAUUUGACACUAUAGACCUUUUUAUGAGAAGGAAAUAAUGAAAAUUGGAACCUUCUCUGUUCUUCUGAAUUUUGAACUCUUUUGCCAGUGAAGAUUGCUGCAAAAUUCUUAGACACUACACAAAAACAGAAGUCAAGAACACUAGUCUUGGAAAUUCAUCAGAAUCAUAAAGGAGUAAUUCUGAUUCCCCUUUUUGGGCCUCCGACCCCCUGUUAAAAUAAUUUCUAAUUUUCCCAUUGCUGAUGGUGUCCUAUGUUUUCUUUAAUAAUACUCUACAUGUAAUUGACUUUUGUGCAAAUACUUUAGCAAUAUUAUUGGAUUUUUAUUUUUUUUCCUUUCCCCCUGUUUCUUUUCGUGAAUGUUAGUAUUGAGAAUGCAAUUGUUACUUGUUAAGCCUCUUGAAGAUCCCAAGAAAACAACAGAGAUUAUAUUGGAGGCACUGCAGGAUACCGGACAAAGAGGAGUUAUUGAUCGAGGUUGGGGAGAUCUUGGAAAGAGUAUGUUGUUUCCUUUAUGUUUGCUGCUUUCUGGUUAGCUGGUUGAUGCUCAAAGAUUUUGCCGCAUGGCUAGGGAAUAAGUUACAAAUUAUAGUUUCUGGGUUGAUGUUUACCAAAUUUUGCUUCAUGCCUACCAGUGUACUAUAGAUGUCAUAAAGGCUGCAAUUGCACUUAAAUAAGGAACAUUAACUGAAGAUUUUUUCAUUAUGAUUUAUCUUUUUAUUUUAGAAGCAUUUACCUUGGUUGAUUGGUGCUUUUCAUCAACUCAGGCGAUACUUCUAUCUUGCAAUUGAUUACAUUUUAGGAAAUCAUUCAUUUUCAAACUAUUUGGAUCAAAUAUUCAGCGGCAAGGAUCAAAUUACAAAUAUUUGGAAAUCAUGAAUUUAUUACCAAGUUUUUCCAUGUAUAUUUCCUAAUUUUCCAAAUUUAUUUUUGGCCAUUAGUGUGCUAAAUGAUCAUUCUGAAAAUAAUAAUUUUAGGUUUUUCUAAUUUUCAAAUAUUAUUAUAACGGGUUCUUUGUGUUGUAUGAUGUGUUUGAUUUGUGUGUUUUCCAAUAAAUAAAUAGUGUAGGUGUCUAUUGCUAGUUUUGAAUAUUUUCACCAAUGAGUUAUGCAUUUCCCAACUUUUGCUUCUUAAUGCUUGUACUGUCAAAUGAUGAUAUUCUCAAGGGCCAGCUCCCAGAAAUAUUGAAACUUUGUAAAGUAUCUCAUAUAUGUAUUUAAAAUGACAUUAUUAUUAUUUUUUCCUAUUUACAAGAAAUAGACCUGUGGAACAUCUCUGACAAAUCAUUUUGCAUUCUACAGUUACAGAAGUUCCUGAUAAUAUAUUCCUUCUAGAGGAUUGCCCUCAUGAUUGGUUGUUUCCUCAAUGCUCUGCUGUGGUGAGUUUUCUUUUAUCCUUCCUAAAGUGAAUUUCUUUAUGUGGAUAUAUGUGGUUAUCGCUACUUCAGUGUGUAGCAUAAUUAAGGAAUGUAUGUUCAGAAAACAUAGCUGAUUGCAGCACCCAAAUUAGAGGUAAGAGGAAGAAUUUUGUGGUAGUGAAUAGAGAUGUGUUCUUAGUUUUGAAUAUGGGUGGACUUAUAACCAUCUAAUAUUGACUAAAUAACAUAAGAAUUUUAUGGCAGAUUAUAAAGAUUUUAAAUAAAAAAUUAUACCUCUAAAGAUAAAACCAAAAAAUGCUUCAUGUUGCUGUUGAAAAUUAGUUGUUGAAUAUGACAAACUUGAAAGAUAAAAUGAAUAUCAAGUUGUAAAGUUGUUUAUUUUUUUCCUCUACCGCACUAAUAAAAAACUUCUAAGAGCGUAAAACUUAUCAAGCUAUUUGGUAUGAGUUACAAGGCUCCAAUCUUUGCAAAAGGCACAAACUAUAUAUAUAUGCUGGAGUGAGACUAGAAAAAACAGUGUGUAAGGCAUGCCUCGCUCUGAUCCUCCAUGCCUUACUUCGCCAUGGAUGAUGUGAAAUUUUUAAUAGUGCAUUCUUCUUUGAGUGUGAUGCAAUUAUGUUUGUGAAAACUCAAUUAACUUGAAGCCUUAUGCCCUGGAUGUGCAGGUUCAUCAUGGAGGAGCUGGAACUACAGCUACAGGGCUAAAAGCUGGGGUAAUAUUCUGUAUUUUUUUUUCAUUAUUCUUCUGUACUGCAUUCUGAAAUAGAUCUUUUCAGAUGAGUCCAUAUAGUUAGAUCUUACGUUACGAAAGACACUUGGUCAUAUGUCUGACUGUUUGUAAUAGAAAUUAUUCAACUGGCUGAUCUUGUCUAACAUCAAAUUUAUUAAUUAGUGUCCAACAACCGUUGUUCCUUUCUUCGGAGACCAGUUCUUUUGGGGCGACAGAGUGCAGCAGAAAGGGCUGGGACCUGCACCAAUACCAAUAUCUCAGCUUACUGUUGAAAACCUUUCAAAUGCUGUAAGAUUUAUGCUGCAGCCAGAGGUAAUUUUGGAGUUGGCAUUCCUUUUUCAGAAUCUGAAAAGUGACACCCACCAGAGACUUCAGAGAUUUUGGUUCUUAACUGGACUUUGGCUCUCUCAGGUGAAAUCCCGAGCAAUGGAGUUAGCGAAGUCGAUAGAGAACGAAGAUGGUGUUGCCGCUGCAGUUGAUGCAUUUCAUCGGCAUUUACCUGAUGAGAUACCAAUGCCUUCUGCGUUACCAGAAAAAGACGACGGGCCUGACCCUUUGCAGUGGUUUUUCAUUCAAAUUGGAAAUUGGUGCUGUCAGCGUUGUGGUGGUGUGUAAACUUCAUAGGUCAACCUAGUGUUUUAUAGGUACUGUUUUCCCUUUCCAAUUUUCUUUCUUUAUAUUUGUUCGUAUCAUUUUAGUUGAGCAAUCCAUUCUUUCAUUUGUGGCUUUUAUGUACCUGUUUGAUUGAUAGGAAUAGAAAAAGAAACAUACUGGUGUAGAUUUCUCAUUACAUUUGCGGUAGUAUCAUUUUUCUUGCAGUAGUAUCAUGUUUCUCCUGCCUGUGUAUAAUGACAGAUCAUUUUAUUAUAAGUAUUAUCGACUUAUUAUAAGUAUUAUCGACUUAAGCUUGAUUAUCAAAUCUAUUUAUGUGCUGUCUAGCUUAUUUUGUUCUGAUUGAACAAAAUAUCAUGCCCAUAAAUGUGCGCAGGAUUCGAAUCUCACAAUUCCUACUUAUAACCAAAUAAUUAUCCAGUUUAAUGAUAAGGAUAUUAUCCUAUAACUACGUUUUUUUUUUUUUUUUUUUUUAUGUAUAAUUUUGUCACCAAAGUUUUCUGGCAAUUGCCUUUUUCCAUUUCAUGUUUCAGUUUUUAUCUGUUUAUCAUCAAACCAUUAACUCCAUUAAGAAAUUGCUUCUAAUAGGGGUAUUUUAGAAAUUGUAAUAUUUUUAGUAUUUUAAUAGUUUUAUGGUGUACAAUAUUUGUAAUUUUAUCAAUUGAUUAUUUUAUAUAUAUAAAAUAAUCAAUUGACAAAAACAUUAUCUCUUUGUAUAUAAUUAAUUUUAUAUUUUUUUAUUAUUCGAGGAUUAAAUUGUACUUACACAAUUUAGGAGUAAAAUAGUAAAAUAGACUUUUACUACAACUACUACUAAAAUUAUGUUAUUUUUAACAAUUUGGUAGAAAAAUGAUAAAAAUUAAAACAAAAAGUGGGAAAAAUACAGUUGUCGUAAAAUUUUGGUGAGAAAGUGAAAUGUUAGAAAAUAUUUAAGUGGUAAAAUAAUAGUAUUGAUGUUAAUAGAAACAAUUAAAAAUAAAAAAUAAAACGAGCAUGAAAUUCAAUCAUACAGCAAUGUAUCUAUAGUAUAUUAGACAGCAACUAUACGAGUGUACAUAGUAGAAAGUUCCUCAUAUAAUAUAAUGUGUACGGCUAACUUGCUACUAAAAUAGCAAGAUUUACACCCAUCAGUGAUUAUUUCUUGUAAAGUUUGAUAUCUCUCCAUCUUGAGUCCAUGUAAUUGCUCGAGCCUGCAGGAGCAGCAUAAACACCGCAUUUGAAAUACAAGUCUCCGGGUCCCUGAUCAUUCACCACAAACUUCUGUUCGCCGUCGAUGAAAACUGUGAUCUUCCCUUUUCCCACAUCAUGAAUGACAUUGAGUCUGAACCAUUUAUCGUACAGAUCUGUCGCCACUACGUUGAAUUUAUAGUAUUUCAUAUCUCCAUUAUAAAUUCUAAGUUGCAGGGUUGUGGCUCCCUCGGAUGCUCCAUGAAUCUGCAUAAUUGUUACGCCGGAUGUGCCUUUUGGGACAUAAGCAUAGCCCUCAAAUUGCCAAAUUCCGGAUGAGUAAUCAUGCCCCUGAAAUAGAGUCAAAAUACUUGAGAAACGCCCUGAAAAAUUCAGCUUAUGCCUUGAGGUACAAAUUAACGUGAACCUUUUACCUUUAUGCGCACUUCAGUACGCGGUCUGGUGCCGCUGCUAGACUUGAAGGGCUUGUCGUGGUUGUAAACCCAAAAACUUCGUACCCCAUCUUUGUCACUGUAACGAGUUCCCAGGGGUUCGUUGUAAGGUUUCUGUAAGAUGAAAUUUUCCUCGGCUAACGCCACUUCAGUGAAUCCAUCAGUAGGAUCAGCGCCAAAAAUUUGAUGGCAUUUCAUAGAGCAUAUAACAAGUAACAACAGGAAGCUGUAGUGGCAAGACUUACUCAUUUUCCCAAAUUCUUCUGGCAAGUACAGAACCUGUGAAGCUAAUUACCACCCCAGUAGUAUCUUGGAUGCAUUUUUAUAAUCAGAUUUUACAGGGGGUUUUUCGAGUCCAAACAAUAUUGAAAUCAGCUGGUUAAAUUUAUCUUCUUGUUGCGGGUAAAUAAAGUAAUAGGAAAACUUUUCGGCAAGUUUCUGACCAUUGACUGCUAUGAUUGUUUUUAUCAAAUCAAAGUGGGAAUUAUGUGCAAAGAAAAUUCAGCCAAUUAUUAUGACAAUUGAUAGCGAGUCUUAGGAAUACAACAUUGUUGUCUCUGUAAAUUGUCAUAUAGCAUCACUUCACUAGUUUAUCCUACAGUAUCCACGUCAUUUAGAGGUUUUGCUUUGUCAGAUUGAAUUAGUUUGUAUUAUUUUGCUUAUCCUUUACGGUAUAGCUUCGCUCUGAGAAAAUCAAAAUCAUUUUCGAUUGUCACUCUUUGUACACACAUAACCGGAAUAAAUUUUUAUCUUGCAGUAAGAGUGAUCUAAAUUUUUAUCCAGAGGAGAACGAUUUUAUUAUAUACAUGUAUGUAUCCUAUUCUUCAGCUUCCAAUUUCCACAAGUAAACUGGGGACACCACAUUAUGUUUCCAUUUCAUCAAAUUCAUGUUAAUGUUAUCCAAUUCAUAUAUAAAAUCCCACAUAACAGAUUGCCUUUUUGACAUUUUUGACACCACCAUUAGAAAAGGCUAAGGUUCGUCAUCCUUUUUUUUUUUUAAUCAAUGCUUAUGCUCUUGAUUUUCUGCCCCCAUAAUUUAUGAAACUGCUAAACAAAUUUAGUGCAAGUUUGGGCAUCAAUGGAUUUUGCUUAAAACAUGGAAACCCUAUCAUACAGGCUUUUUGUUCUCUGCUUGUUUCCAUUUCAUUAUCACUUUUGCUCAUCAAACUGCCAUCACAUUUUUGUUUAUUUGCUUUCCAUAACUAACCUCAAUUUCUAAUUGGAGAAUGAUGCUGCUGCCAACUUUGUCUUUUGUAGCAUUGAGAAGCCUAAGGUUAUUUUGUUUGAUUACUUAAAACUUCUUAAUGUUGACAUUUCUGGCCCCAGUUUGAAUAUUUUGUCCAAAUUAUUGUCUCAACUCAAAUUUCGGAAGUAAUAUCAUUGAUAUUGGAUUGAUUCCUCAUCAGACUUGUGCAUUAUUUAUUCUCUUAACAUUUUCUGAAGGGGGUUCGUUGUGUUCCUUUGGAUGUCUUCUUGUUACUGUCAGGUAUAUGGAAUCUAAACUGGGGAAUAUAUUUGCAGUUUAAUUUCCUAAAUAUAUAUUGUAAAAUUUAUUCUAAAAGGGGAUCACACGCAGUGCUUUGCGGAAUUGAAAAUGAUUCAAUGAGUCCAGGACAUGCAAUUUUUCCAAGCUCAUUAACCUAAGAUUUUCCCAACUUAAUAACGCUUUCUGGGUGAAAGAUGCUUGUAAGGCAGGGGCACUUGUUACAUCCCCACAAGUGAAUGCGAAUCUUAAACAAUCUAUAAGUCUCUGAUAUCUCUACUCAGUUUCCCGGACUGGACGCCGGUCUAUUAAUUUCUUCAUAGUCACAGCUCCAACGUUACACAAUUUACACAACAGAGCACACAGCUAGCAUCAUAAAACCUCCGAAAUUUAUUUCUCAACCCAAGGUGAUAACAAUGAGCUACAUUAUUCUUAAGUUCAGGAUUCACACUUCUUAAAAAUUUUGAUGUCUCUCCACCUAGACUCCAUGUAAUAGCUUAUAUUAGCAGGAGCAGCAUAAACUCCACAUUUGAAAUGCAAGUCCCCUGGCCCUUUAUCCUUGGUUGCAAAUUUUUGAACACCAUCAAUAAAAACAGUUACCAUCCCACCAUCCACAUCAUGAAUGAUAUUAAGCCGAAACCACUUGUCGUACAGGUCAGUAGCCACCAGAUCAAAGCUGUAGUACCUCAUGUCGCCGUUAUAGAUCCUUAGGAUCAACGUAGUAGCCCCGUGAGCUGCGCCGUGAAUCUGAGCUAUUGUAGCACCAGAGGUUCCGUUUGGCACAAAACCAUACCCUUCAAAUUGCCACACUCCUGACGAAUAGUCCACGCCCUGCAGAAAUUCAAAAGAUUAAAGAACUUAACAGCAAAGUGUCACAUCUUUAAUCUUCUUUUAGAAACCCACAAACAUAUUUGAUAUUUUGCUGAAUUUAAUUAAGGUUACGCGUAUGCGGAUUUCUGUGCGCGGUUGGGUGAGGCUGUUGGGAUCAUGAGGCUUGUCAUCAGCAUAGACCCAUAAUUUGUGCACCCCAUUUUCAUAGCUGUAACGUUCUUCCAGUGGUACAUCAUAUGGUCGUUGCAGUUCCAAGUUUUCAGGUGUCAAUGCCACGGGGCUGAAGCCAUAUGUGGGAUCGGCAGAAGCAUAACACAGAAUGAUUUUGAACUUGUUCAGUAAAACCACAAGAAGAACAAAGGGAAGCAUGUAGCUUUUGGGCUCAACCAUUUUGGUCAGUCACUUUGCCUGGACUUGAGAUGCUCUGUGUGAAGCACUAGCCACCAGGCAAGUAAAUACAUAUAUAUAACUCAAGUAACCAAUUCUUCCAAUCAUGCCUUGCUAUGAAAUAAUAAAUGUUAUCUUAUCCACCUAAUGUGUCAAGGUGACAACACUCCUUGCUAAAUAAAAUUUUAGGAAAGACCCACAACUAUUUAUUUUUUUUCCUUUAGAAAAGUAGAAUAUUCAAUUUUCCUUAGCCGUAUUAAAUUUCUCGUCACGCUAUUGGGCCUUAUACACCUUGCGCCUGCCAUCUUCUUUCAUUGGGCCUGAGAUCCAAUAAUAUUGUUUUUAAUUGUUAAUUUUUUGAAUAAAUGAGUAGCAAAAAUAAAAACUAAUUAACUUUUAAAUGGGCUUUUAAUCUGCAAACACAAUCAACAGCUUAUUAAUUAACCUAUUCACAUAAUAAUUAAUAACUGGAUAGCUUUAUUACCAUUUCUACCAAUAAUAAAUUAAUAAUAAUAACAAACUUCAAUUAUGUACAGUUAGGAGACCAAAGUCUUCAGCUCUUGAGUUCACUACACUCCAGUGACAUUCCUUCGUCGGAGAUCAUGCGGUUGCCGGCGGCGAGGAGCGGCGGAGGUCUGGGCAUCGCCGCCAUGUCUUACAUCUUAAUAGACUACCUGCGCCACCUGUCUCCAGCGUGGCACGCGCGCUUGCAGCCGGUGCUCUGGACCGUACUGGCUCUGAUCGCCAUCACACGUGUCCCCUAUUACAGGCACUGGACCGCCGAGUUCCGGGCGGCAAUUCCAUUCGUGGGUUCAAUGAUUUUCAUGCUAUCUGCUCUUCUCUUCGAGGCUCUCUCCGUUCGCUUCGCUACUGCAGUGCUUGGCCUUGAUUGGCACAGGUAACUGUGCUGGACAUAAAGAUAUAAACCUUUUGUGGUUUGUUUGAUUCUGUUGGUCAGUUUUAUAUUUUUAUUCUUUUUGGAUCUAAUAAUGUUGCGAGGCAACCUCUACUGUAGAAUGGAAUUGAUGACCCAGGAACUUAUCAUUUUGUUUUUCCUUAAUCGUCUUUCAAAUUCCGUAUUUACUGGUGAACUUAGCUCAAAAGUACUGAUGACCAAGCAACUUAACAUUUUCUUAAUUGUCAAAUCAUUGUAGCUUUAAUGUCCCUGUAUUCAUCACAAACCGUAUGGAACAUUUAUGACUUUAAAUCUGGUGUUGAUUAAUGUGUAAUGUUCACAUGAAUUAUCUUCUGCAUCUCUAGGUUUUUCUACUUCCCUUGAGUUGAGAGACAAUACGUUUCAGUUUUUAGCUAUUUCAUCUUUGAGUAUCUUCAAUGCUUUAAAAACAGGAUUAUUGAUUGGCUUGGCAAUGUCCAACAGUGAUACAGAUCCUCUGCCUGAUACUGGUCAGUGGUUGCUCCUGGCAUUAAAUGAGAAACUUCCUGGAACAAUAGUCCAAAUAUUGAGAGCUCGUAUCAUUGGGCUACACCACUUUCUGAUGUUGUUUAUGAUGCUGGCUUUCUCUGUACUAUUUGACUCUGUAGAAGCUCCUGGCCUUGGGCUAGGUGCAAGGUAUAUGUUCACUAUGGCAGUCGGCCGACUCCUUCGGGCCAUAACAUUUGUAUCUACCAUUCUGCCGUCAGCCCGGCCUUGGUGCGCUUCGGCAAGGUUUAGAGUCCCCGCGUACCCUCAUUACUGGGCACAGAAAUAUUAUGUGCCUUAUGCUUCAGAUGCCAGUGCUAUUCGUCAGAUUAUAAAUCAGGAUAUGGCUUAUGGUAUGUGUUGCUUAUCAAAUUCAAUUUGCGUUGUCUCCUUGGCUAUCUGGAUUUAGUGUCUGAGUAUCUUCAUUUUUUGCUGGGAGUCUGGGACCCCAAUUGGAUGUGCUGCUGAGUGCUCUGUCAGCUUCUGUUUUGUGUUGAUACUCUUUUGUUUUCCAUUCGGCUCCUCUCCUUCAUUUCUUCCAACUGAACAUGGACUUAGGAUUUAGGUAAUGGAUGAUGUUCAAUGGCCCUAUACUGACCACUAUAAUUCAACUGAUAAAAGCAAAUUAUUCUGAUUAUCAAGUCAUGCAAUCAAGUGCUUGUGGCUCAUGCCAGAUGAAAUAGAUUCAAGAUUCCUAACUGUCUUUUCUAGAUAGACUAAACUUUACUGAUGAAAUAUGACAGUACCUAUCUUAUAUGAGGCAUUCGUUCUUCAAUAUGAUGUGCUAUCCUAAAUUCAUAUUAAGUUUGUCUCAAUGACUGGAAGGGUCCUGUUAACACCUCUAUUAUCUUUUUCAGCUGAUGUUGGUAAUUAUCCGAGUGACUAUCGACUGGAUUGGGGUUCUAUGAGUUUCUUAAUUGACUUCCUGCGACCGACUGCAUCAGAAGGAUCUUCAUGGUUCAGUCUGCUGAAGAAAGCUGGUGGUGGCUGCAAUGACCUUAUAUACAGUGGUCACAUGCUUGUUGCUGUACUGACAGCUAUGGCUUGGACGGUAUUCAUACAAAUCCAUUGUCAAGCAAUGAGAAUAAAUGACUAAUUACAUACUCUUAUCAGCCUUUGUUUCUUAAAAUGAUUGCAGGAGGCUUACGGAGGCUUUAGCUCGGCUCUCGUAUGGCUGCUUGUAAUGCACAGUGCCCAGAGAGAAGUUCGGGAACGCCACCACUACUCUGUGGACUGCAUUGUGGCAAUAUACGUAGGCAUCCUCCUCUGGAAGAUGACAGGUUUUAUCUGGCCACUCAAGGAUGCAUCCAAGAGUAAACGGCUCAACAAACUUGAUAAAAUCCAAAGUAGACUACUCCAAGCCGCUAAAGACUCGGACAUGGACAAGGUAACCGAGCUUCUCAAAGAAGUUGAGCUAGGCGGUCAAGAAACCCAAAACAAAGGCCCCAGCAAGGGCCUGUGGUUGUUUGCAUGCGCCAUAAUUUUCUUUGCACUCACCAUUGUUGUACUCGCCUUCACGUUGACGAGCGAUGGAUGAUUUUUUUUCCGAUCUGCACAUUGUUGUAUUUCUAUGUAGUGCAACAUUUUGUUAACGGGGAAAGGUUUUGAUUUUUAUGCUGCCAGAAAUGGUGUUGGGAGUAAUAAGACAAUUUUAGCAGACAAUUUUAGCGGCAUAACAAAUUAACAAUUAACACGUUGAUACAAAGGAUGACUUGUAGCUGUAUUAUGUGACCUUUAGGUAGCUCCUUGGCUUUUUUCUGUUGCUUGGGCUUUCUUAUUUGGAUGAUGAUUGGAUCCUUGAAAUUAUGUUUGAGUUGGACCAUUGGCACCUCUCUCAUCUCCUCAUAAAAUCUCUUUUUUAGUUAUAUUUAUUUUAUUUUUGAAAAUAUCCUUUUUUUUAGAUACACUUUUCUAAGUUCUUAAUUUUUAUUUGAUUUGUUUUAUUAUUAAAACUUAAAGUAUUAUUGUGCUAUUUUUUAUUUUCAAUUUCAUUAUUAAUCUACACACAAAUUAAAAAAUUAUAUGGGUGAUAAAUUUUUUAGUGUUAAUCAUUGGUUGAAAUAACACAUAUUUUAAAUUAUAAUUUCAAAGUAAUUUUAAGUAUAAAAAUAUUUAAUCAAUAAGAAAUCAAAAGAGAACAAUAUAUUAUUUUAAAUUUGUAUAAUUUAUUUUAGUUAAAUAGGAAGUAACACAUAUAUAUAUAUAUAUAUAUAUAUAUAUAUAUAUAUAUAUAUAUAUAUAUAUAUAUAUAUAUAUAUAUAUAUAUAUAUAUAUAUAUAUAUAUAUAUUGAAAAGAAUUAAUUAUGAAUUAAGUAAUUUGCUGGAAAAAAAUCUUUAUGUGUUUAAUUUUUAAUUGUCCUUAAUUGUAAUUUUAUUUAAAGUGGGGUUUUGUAAGAAAAAUGUAGGGGUGCCAAUAGCUCCACUCAUUAUGUUUUUAUUUAUUUUUCAAUAUUUAUUAUGAAUCCUUUUGUCAACUCCUUUUAUGACCAUUUUAUCAGUUUUGUAUAUAAACAUCUAAAUCAUGAAAAAUAGUCAUAGUUAUGUUUAAAGGAAAAAGUAAAAGAAAAAUUAGUUAAAAGAAAAAUUAAUUACAUUCACCAGAUGAAUUUCAAAAUAAAAAUGCCACGUGGGAUUAAAAUUCUCCAAAAAAAAAGGCUGAACACUCUUAAAGUCCCGUCACUAGCAAGGAAAAAAGAAAAAAAAAAGUUCAGAAGCAGAUAUUCUUCAGAGCUUAAACGAGAGUCUUUUGCAACCGUCCGAUAUAAACACAAAAGAAAAUUUCCAACCAUCCGACGAUUCACAAUACGCCGAUCUAGUGAAUUAUCCUACUAUCUGCCCAGCAAAUUCAUGCCGCGGUUAUCUAUCUUGCCUCCGCAUUGCACCUACCAAAUAAACAGAUUCUUUUUCCCCUCCAAACCUGUUGCUCUCUGUCGAUUACAUCCAAAAUACAGAGCUAAAAUAUUUAUUUUAGGAAAAAGUUUGAAAGUCAAUUGCAAUGGCGAUUUCUUUGACGGCGUCUACAAUUCCUUCAUUAAAUGCAAAAGUGUCCGCUAGCAGUUCAUCAAAACUCUCUCGGCUGUCUUCUCUGCAAUUCCCCGUGCAGUUGCGCCGCCUUCGAAUUUCUAACGGCUCGAGAACUUCAUCUUCCUCCAAACGUCGCUUGCUGCCAGUGGUAAUCUUUGAUUUUGCUUUGUUUUGAGUAGUUUUUAAUUAAUAUUUGUUUACGAGUUCCUUAAUUGAAAUAAUUACUUUCGGUAGGUUGAAGCGAAGAAGCAAACAUUUUCGUCACUUGAUGAUUUGCUGCAGAAAUCUGACAAGCCUGUGUUGGUUGACUUCUAUGCCACCUGGUAAUUUUCAUCCUUCGCUCAAGAAAAUUUUAACAUUGUAUAAUGAACAUCAAGUUGAUUACUUAUGCUAUAUUUUUUACUUAAUUUUAAUAACAAAGUAGCUAAAUUGUUUGGUGAGCAUUCUUUUUUAUGGCAGCUAAUGUUGAUUGCCUAGCCACUUGCCUAUACUUGUCAGCCAGUAAUUUCAUUCCACAGCUUCUGAUUUUGUUUUUGUCUUGUUUGUUAACAGUUACCAUCUAGUGUUUGCACUUCAAGUUUGUUAAAAGGUUUUAUAAAUUGAAACAUAGACAACUCGUGAUAUGGUUUGCAGGUGUGGUCCUUGCCAGUACAUGGCUCCUAUCCUCAAUGAAGUUGGUGCUGCUCUGAAAGAUAAGAUUCAGGUGGUCAAAAUCGAUACUGAGAAGUACCCUCAGAUCGCUGAUACAUACAGAAUAGAGGCCUUGCCAACUUUCAUUCUAUUUAAGGACGGGAAACCUUCUGAUCGCUUCGUAAGUCAAUUUAAUAUUGUUUUUUUUGUUUUCCUUGAAAAUUUAAUUUGUGCAUCUUUACAAAAUCAUUGUUUAUUCUCUGUGAAAAUGCAUUAAAGUGUCAAGUGACUACUAUGAAUAACCUGAAGAUCCUCUCUUUCCCAUGCCUGUAAAUUUUGGUGUUGAUAUUUGGAUUUGGAAAUUCUUUUCAAGCAUUGUCUUUCACUUUAUUGGAUUCCGUUAUAAUCGAUGUGUAGCUCUGAGGGUUAUCCAAUAUUCCAAAGUUUGUUGCUAGGCCUGGGAUAUUUCCUUUACACAGAUAGUAUCAUCAUCAAUAACUUAUGCAUUUUGUUGUUUGAGCCACUGGUGUAUUUUUGACUCAGUUGACUGGCAUCAGCAGUAUGCGCAUAUUGUCAUUGUAUGAUUCUUUUUUGCUUUUCAGUUACUUUUUCUGGUAGCUGUUGCCACAGGUUAGUUCUUUCAUAUGCCUGUGGACAUUAAGUUCAAUAACAAUCCUGAUGGUUGAUUGUUUUCAGGAGGGUGCUUUUUCUAAAGAUCAGCUUAUCCAACGCAUUGAGAAUUCAUUGAGCGUCAAGCAAUAGUUGUGGUGAGCUCUAGUUUUUAUUUAUUUCUACUUUUGAGUCUGCCCCAAUGAGUUUAUGUCCUCAAAGAGCCCUUUUAAUUGCCAUUCUCCUGUUGGCUCACUCUCUGCUAUUUUUGAUGUUUUGCAGUUUCUCAGGUUCUACCAGGAAACCAAUGUAAUCAAGUUGUUAGAUUGGAAUAUUGAAUUCAGUAAACAGGGAAUUCACAAGGAAAUUGUCUUUUCGUUUCUUUCCAUUUUUUAUUUUCGAAUCUCUUGUAUUUUUACCUAAAUUUUAUGACCUAUUUUUUUUAGGUUAUGCUGCUGAUUUUUUUACAAUAAAAAAUUUUGAUGACCUACUGUAUUGAAAUUUUGGUGUGAAUUCAUCAUGUUAAUGGUGCUGUCAUGGCAGUUUCUGUGUCUCUUUAGUUUGUUCAAUGAUCUUGGUCUGCAGUAUAGUGGAUGACUACUGACUAGUAAUAAGGGCUCACUCGACACAGUAAAGGGCAUAUAAGAUCCUCCAGAAUGACCAAUGCUUUUCAAGUUUCUUGACUCUAAAUAAUAUACAUUUUAAUUAAGGUUGUAGAUUUCAAGUAUAAUGCAUUGCGAUAUCAUCGCUUUAUCUAUAUUUUCCUUGAAGUUUUAAUAAUAUAGUUACAAAUUUUUAUAUAAAUUUAUUUUGUACAAAUUGAUAUGACAUAAUUAAAUUAAUUGAAUUAAAUAUUUCUUGAUUCAUUAUAUUUAUUUUUAUUAUUUUAAAUUUUUUUAAUUAAUAAAUUAAUAUCAAAUCAGUUUGUCCAAACUUAUUUUUACAAAAAUUGAUGAUUGUAUCUUAUAGACUCCUCAUAAUUUGCGGGGAAGGAAAUUGUAGGCUUUUGUUUUUGUUAUUGUGUUUUUUUUUUCCGGUUUUUAUGAAAAACAAUUGAGUGAAAAAGCUAUUAGCUAUCUAAUUAACUGGUGUUACUAAAACAACCCUGAUUGGUGUCAACGCUGAAUUAAUAAUAGCGGUGAGCAAGGGGGGUAGGGUCGUCUAUUAAAUGAGAUUAUACCAUAUACCGUCCAGGUGAGAAAUUGCCAAACCCCGAGGGAGGUAAGCGAUAUUACCUUUUCCUAUUCUACUUAUCGACUCCUUCUCUGGCAUAGGCUGAUCAGCAACGGGGAGAUGGAAAUGGAAAUGCGUGCGAGUGAGGAAAUAAGGCAAGGUGAAGACAUAACGCCACCAUUAUUUCCUCUCACUUUCGCAUUUCACGACUCUUUACUCGACGGUCACUGUUCGUCUUGCUUCUCUCCACUUCCUUGUUGCUGCUCCUCCCUCCCCCUCUCCUCCGCCGAACUCCGCGCCGCUCUCCACCUCCUCCACUCCCCUCUUCCCACUACCUCUCUUCCUCCUCCUCCUCGUCUCUUCGGCUUACUCACCAACCGCGACAAGCUAAUGUCUUCCUCCGACUCCGAUGUUGCGUCCAAAAUUCGAGAAGGAGCGGGGGAGAUGGGGAGAGCGAGAGGGAAUUUGUCCGACGACGUCGCUUGGGAGGAGGCUGCGUUGUGUUUGGUGAUGACCAAUGCCGUUGAGGUGCAGGAUGAUAAGACAGGGCGUAUUUUAGGUAUCGCCGUGUACGAUAAGGAUUUCUCUUGGAUCAAUCACAGCUGUUCUCCCAACGCUUGUUACCGCUUCUCGCUUUCUGAGCCAAAUGCUCCGUCGUUUCGCGAUGAAAAGAAAAUGCGGAUUGCUCCUCACGUUGUUUUCGACAGCACUGAGGCUGAAACUCCAGUAAAAUCCCAGCUAUGUUGAAAUUUUUUUGAAUUUUUUAACUGACUUGAGCAAGUCGAUAAUUGAUUUGAUGCAGGGAAAGAGUGAUGUUUGUAUCAGUUGUGAAUUAAAAGAAGGUUGCUAAUGCUAAUUGUUGUUCAUUUCUAUAUAAAUUUUGCACAUUGUUUGAUUUUUGCCGUUCUGAAUUUCAUUUAAUUUUAUUUUCAAGGAAGUAAGAGACAUGGUCCAAGGAUCAUUGUAAGGAGUAUUAAGCCAAUUAACAAAGGCGAGGAGGUAACUGUUGCUUACACUGAUUUGUUGCAACCUAAGGUACUACAUUCCAUUUAAAAUCAGCUGAUCAGGCAUUUGUUUUAUUUGAUAAUUUUGUAUAAUUCUACAUUGUUCAAACCAAUUUUAUUUUGUUUAGGGAAUGAGGCAGUCAGAGUUGUGGUCAAAGUAUCAAUUUGUCUGUCACUGUAAGCGAUGCUCUGCGUCACCUCCAAGUUACGUAGAUAUGGCCUUAGAGGUAAAAACUUUAUGUAAAUUGUCCGCGGGAAGAUCUCAGUUGCAAACGAGUGGUGUGACAAGUAUUGAACUCUCGAGGGCUUUUUUUGUUCUUUCUCCAGGAAACCUUUUCUUCAAAUCCUGAGUUUUCGAGCUUGAGUUCUGAUUACAACUUCCUCAAGGACGAGGCAAAUCAAAAGUUGACUGAUUGGAUGGAUGAAGUUACAUCUGAAUAUCUAUUAGUUGAUGAUCCUGAAUCUUGCUGCCAGAAGCUGGAGAACAUCCUUACCCAAGGUCUGCAGGGUGAGUUGUUAGAAUCCGAAAAAGUAAAAAUACAGCUGAAUUUGAGGUUGCAUCCCCUGCACCAUCUCUCACUGAAUGCCUAUACAACACUGGCAUCUGCAUAUAAAACCCGUUCAAUUGACUUAUUAGCUCUCAAUUCUGACAUUGAUGGACAGCAAUUGGAAGCUUUUGAUAUGAGCAGGGCAAGUGCCGCAUACUCAUUACUGCUUGCUAGUGCGACUGACCAUUUGUUCCGAUCUGAGUCAUCUCUGAUUGCAGCGUCUGCAAAUUUCUGGGCAAGUGCAGGGGAGUCCUUGUUAACUCUUGCUAGAAGCCCAGGGUGGAAUUUAUUUGUGAAACCGGAAUUGCCUAUUUCAACCUCGUCCCCUGAGAUUCAUGAGUGCUCCAAGUGCUCACUAGUGGACAGAUUGCAAGUGAAUCCAUUUCUUAGUCAAUCUCGAAAUGCCGAUUUCCAGAUCAUAUGUAAUGAGUUUCUUGCUUGCAUCACUAAUAUGACACGAAAAGUUUGGGGUUUUCUUACACAUGGAUGUGGGUACCUGCAAAUGUUGAAAGAUCCCAUUGAUUUCAGCUGGCUUCGGCAGUCUUCCAAUUUGUGCCACACUCCAUGCUGCAGUGAUGAGGAAUCCAAUAAGGAAACCGGGUAUCAAGAAAGUAUUUGCAGAAGGGUAAUGCAGCGGUGUGAUGGUGAAGAAAGGAUUACUAUCUUUCAGCUUGGUGUUCAUUGUAUAGCUUAUGGAGGAUAUUUAGCAAAUAUAUGCUAUGGUCCGAAUUCCCAUUGGCCUUGUAAAAUUAAAAAUGUUGUACAAAACGAAGAGAAAUUGGUUCAUUGUUGAAAGAAUUUUCAAUUUUCCUUGCCAGUUAAAUUUUAAAGAACUAUAUGUGAAAGCGCCACUAGAAAUGACUAAUAUGUUUGAUCUGCCAUGCUUUGUGAGAUCCUUAAUAUGAAAUUCUCCUCUAAAUCGCAUAUGAAGGAAGAUGAAUAGAUGAAUAGAUGAAUAGAUGAUCAAAAGCGCUAGUCAGACAUAAGCGGUCGUGAAAUGGGCAUGGGCCAUGACUAUUUUGUAUCGAAAACAGAAUAAUUCCAAUUCACACCUUUAAGUACACCAACGCGGUUCGGGGAGUCCAACUUCAAGAGUAAUGCACCGAUUUUUUUUCCAAAAAAAGAAAGAAAGAAAUUGUUACAAUCCACCUGUACAUUAAUCUACUGGAAGCCUAUAUACAUACAUUUUAUAUAACAGAAUUUCAGAUUUGGAAAUCCACCCUUAUAUACCACUGGGGUUCAAAUCCAAUGUAAUGCAGUGAUGUUAGAUCUGAAUUUUAUUUGCACAAUUUUCAAAACUAAUUGUUAGAGUUUUGGAUCAUCUAAAUUGUUAGACAGAAAUUAAGUCUAUGCUGUCUCACUACUUCUUUAUUGAAUACGAUACAAGUGUGCGUACAUAAAUGUAUUUCGAUGUUUAAUUAUGAUUUUUUUUUAUCACUACUUUAAUCACAAUUCAAUUUUUUUUUUUUUCUGUAAAUUUUUUAUACUAUUUCAAGAGGUUUUAUUGCCAGUGUAAGCUAACCAAUAAACAACAAUAUUACUCGUCAAAAAAAGAACAAAUAACAAUAUCGAAUGGAAAGUUUUCUAUCACAAGCACACAUAUGUGAGGCGAAUGUAAUGUUCUUCCAGAAAAGCUUUUGGUGACCUCUCAGUAGGCUAAAUAAAGCAUUAAUAUUUCAUGCGAUGCCUAUAUGGUCUGUUUCAAUUGAUAUAAGAAGUAUCAAUGAUUUAGAGGAGCCGUUGCUUAAUGAAUUAAGCUCCUUCAUACACGUUGUAAUUGGGGAUUGUAGCUUCUCCUUACGUGUAUGGUGGAGCUGGAAGCAUGUGGCCUCAAUGGAACCCAAAUCUCCUUCAUUAGUGUCAAAACAAUUUAGGUGUUGAAUCAAUUAGCACUCGCUAGUAUCCGAAGUUUCUAAUUGCACAAAAAUUAACUAAAAUGGAAUACUAGUGCUGAGCUUAUCCAAUAAUUUAGCUUAAGAGAUUAAUUUAAUUGAACUUACGUGUCAUUACUUUUUUUGGUCUGUGAUCACUCGAUUUUAAUACUAAUUUUGAACCCCUUCCAAUCAAACAUGAACAGUUGGCCUUACCUCGAUCCUAUACAUGACAUAAAAUCAAGCAAAUCAAGAGGGGUCUUAAUUAAACGUUAGAACAUUAGGUUACGCAAUUGUUAACAUCACAUUACCGAAUCAAUCAGACCCCCACCCAUCAAAGUUCAUCAACCACACAAACCGAUUUUAGUACUUUUCCAUCGAUCAUUAUCCUACCUAUAAACGUGGCUGCACGAUCUUGUUUCCAUGGGACCCAUAAAUAAGGCAAGUCCAUACUCAUAUUUUAAUAUACAGAUGCAUUGAUUUAUUAAUAGUUUCAUCUAAUUAGAGAUAAUAUAAUCAUGAUGAUGCAGUUAAAUUUUAUAUAACCAUCAAUUAUAUGUUAGUUCUUUAAAAUAAAUUUAUAAAUUUAAUAAUAUUAUUUUAUUUAUUAUAUGAUUGAUAUAAUACUUUAAAGGUAUUCUAAAAUUUCUCCACCUCUACAUAUAUAUAUAUAUAUAUGUACACAUGUCAAAUGACUUAUGCCUCUAAGCUUUAUUUCCAACACCAAUGUCUCUAAGCUCCCAACGUUUUGGACUUCAACAUUGUUUUUUUUUUUUUUUAAUUUGGAUUUGGUCAAUCACUAUGUUACAACAGUUGCAAUACUUUGGAUUACCAACAAAAAAAUUUGUCUUACUUUAAAAGUUGUUUAUUACAGUAUUUCAAUUUUUUCAUUAUACAAAAAUAUUUGAGAACCAUAAGUCAUUCUAUGAUACCGUGUUAAAAUCAUGACAUCAAUGCUAUAAUCAAACAUAAGUUCUAUAAUUAAAAUAUAAGAUUUGUGAAUUUAAUAUAAAAUUUGUAAAUUAAUAUUAACUAUAAAAUAAAAUAUAAAUUUUGAAAAUGGAAAAAAACCUUGUAAAUGAAAGGUAAAACAAGUAAGUUAAUAUAAAACUAGUAAAUUGAUAUAUUAUUUGUAAACAAAUUAAAAACUUAGAAAUAUAACAUAGAACUAGUAAAUUAACAUUAAGUACAAAAUAAAAUAUAAAAUUCAGAAAUUGAAGAUAACACCUCUAAAUGGAAUGUAGAGUAAGUAAAUUAAUAGAAAACUAGUAAGUUGAUGUACUUAUGGUAAACAAAACAAAAACUUAUAAAUAUAACAUACAAUUAGGCCAAGUCUCACUGAUGAGCGCUGACGUAAUGCCCCAACUACAUCUUAAGGAGGUUAUUGAUAUAUUAUUGGUCAACAACACAAAAAACUUACAAGUAUAACACAAAACUAAUAAAUCAAAUUAAGUGUAAAAUAAAACAUAAAUUUUGAAAAUAAAACACAAGACUUAUAAAUGAAAUGUAAAACAAGCCAAUCAAUAUAAGAGUGAUAAAUUAAUGUUUUACUAGUAGACAAAAUGAAAACUUGCAAAUGUAACAUAAAACUUAUAAAUUAAUAUUAAGUGCAAAAUAAAAUAUAAAUUUUAUAUAUUACACCUAAAAUGUAUGAAUAGAAGGUAAAAUUAGUAACUUAAUUUAAGAGUUACUUAAAAAAAAUGUAAAAAAAUUACAAACGUAAAAUAAAAACCCAUUGAUUAUCUUAUAUAUUUGAUUUUGUAUUUAAAUUGAAUAAUGAUUAUUUUUUGUUCUUGUGAUACAUUUGAUGUUUUAUUAAGGAUAAAACUUAUUCUCAAAGUUAAAUAAGACUUAUUGAGGAUAAAACUUUAAUGUUUUCAAAGUUGUUUUAAAAUGAGCUCAUUUUACAUUUUUCUACACCUCAGCAGCAGCAUAAAUGGUUCUUGAAUAUAAGUAAGGAGUAAAGUUUAAAACUAUGCAUAAAACUCAAAAUUAAAUAUAAUUUUAUUGAUAUAUCAUAUGUGUCUAGUAAUAAGAAUAUCUUUUUAUUUUGUUUCUGUUUGAUCUACGUUAAGAUAAAUAAUUUCACUUAAUUAACUUGUGUCGUAAAUAGAUAUUAUUAUAGAAAAUUAAAAAAAAAGUUCAUAAACAUUCCAGAAUGAGCAUAGAGUUUAUAGUUAAAACAAUUCAACAAAACCUAUUCCACUUGUUUUCAGUAUAGUUUUUUUUUUCAAUUGAUGAGUGAUUUUUUCCUUUAUUUAAUUAAAGUAAAUGGUUAUAUUAUUUUUCACUAAAAUAAUAUAAAAACAACGUUAAUUAUUUAAAUAAUAAUAUUUUUAUAUUAAUUUACUUAUUCAUAGUCUUAUAUAUAAUUUAUAAAAUUUAUAUUUAGCACAAUACUAAUAUCAUAAUUGUAAUCACAAUAUUAUAGAAUUUCCUAUUUAUAAUAAAAAUACAAGCUGAUAACAGUUACAUUUAUUUAUGACUAUAGUUUAAAGUUGAGAGUUCUAUAUAAUUUUUAAUAUUAUUCAACCGAUAACACUAAAAAGAGAAAAUUAUUUAACUUUAGAUGAUGACCAUUACAUUUAUUUUUCUUUUCAAAAAAAUGGAUAUUAAAUGGUGCAAACAACUGUUGGUAUUAAAUAUCUAGUCUUGCCGACACAUCAACUGCCAUUGGAUUGGGACCCAUUUAACUACCGGCCACAAAACAGUUUGGACAAAACUUAAUCCUGAAAACUUGUGGACCCCUCCUUUUAAAAAAUUAAAGAAAAAUUACGUGUCAAAAACAAGAAGAAAAAAUUACACUGAUGAAUUAUUGUUAUGUCAAAUUAUUUAGGGGUGGACAAAAAAAUCAUAGUCUUAAAUAAAUCGAAUCGAAUCGAUGAUUUUUUCUAAUUUAGUUCAGUUUUUAUUUUUUUUAAAAAUCAAAAUAUAUCAUUUGUAAAAAAAAUUGAAAUGUCGGUUCGGUAUUCGGUUCACUUAGCUGAACCGAAAAAUCGAAUUAUUUUUUGAUUUAUUCAAAUCAAACAUGUGUUAAUAAUUAUAUUCAAAUCAAACAUGAUUUUAUUCAAAUCAAAACAUGUGUUAUUUCUCUUUAUAACAUUAUGAUUAUGUUUAUAUAGAUGGAGUAUUGGAGUUUGGUUAUGUAUUUUGAAAUUUUAAUAUUUCAUAUUUUGGGAGUAUCUUAUUAAUAGUUAGUAAGAUAUUAGUGAUAAAAUGUGUUUUGAAUACUUUGUAUUUAUUGUUAAUAUUUGUAAUAAAAUUAGGAUAAAUUAAUUGUUGAAAAAAAUUAUUACAUUCAUAAGGUCUAAUAGACUAAAAAUUUAAAAAUUUAAAAAUUCAAAAUAGGCACAAUAGGUCAAGAAUCGAAAAAAUCGAACCGAACUGGAUCGAUCCAAAAAGAACCAUUUGAGCUCAGUUCUUAUUGAGUUUGAUUCUUAUUCGGUUCUUUUUAUAAAAUAAUCGAUUUAAAUCGAUUCUAUUUAAUUUCAAACCGAACCGAACCGUGCCCACCCCUAAAAUUAUCACACAUAAAAUAAAGAAUUUAAGCAAAAGUCUUAAACCAUUAUAAAUGUGAACAUAUGGCAGAUUUAUGAUAUGAUGGGUCCACCUAUUAAAUAUCUUUUUUUAGUGUGGAUACUCGUGUUUCAUAAAAGUAUAAAUUUAAUAUUUUAUAAUAGUAUAAAAUAUUUUAUAAAGGGCAAACGUCAACACUUUAAAAAAAAUUCUUAGGAUUAAAGUUUAUCAUUAUAAAAAUAAAGUUGGUUGGUGUGAGUGUUUCGAUAAUCUCAUUUUUUAAGAGAGAUUAGGGAUUUAAGCUCCGCUCUUAUAUAGAGUCACUAUUUUAGUCAGUAUUUUAUCUUUUAUGGGCCGACCUGGUACGAGUAGGGAUUAAUCUAAAUUAUAGUAUCGAUUUAAAAGUAUCUCCUACAAUUGAGGUCCACUCAGAACUGACAAAAAAAAAAUUAUCAUUACAAAGAGUGAAAAAGAGAAAUCCAGUUUUGAGGGUUACCAAAGCACUUAAAAAAAUAUAUAAAGCACAAAAUAUUUAAAAAUUGGAGAGAGUUCGCAUCGAGAAAGGGUCUUAAUUCAUUAAUGCAUAUGACAUACAAUGCAAAGUUUCGCGGUCUAUUAAAGCUAGAAUUAAUUUUAUCCAUUAAACUGCUCUUUUCCUAUUUUAUGGAUAAUUCUUUUGAACCACUGUUGAAGUAUUUGCAAUUUUUUACUAAAUUGUCUCAGCAUGAAGUCUCGUUGGCGAAACCAUCCAUGUCCAAAUAUGACGAAAAUAAAUGAACCAACAAUAGACCAGUCACAUUAUUAUUAUUAUUAUUAUUUGAGCACAUAAAUUGAUUUUCUUAUAGUAAAGAAAAAAAAAGUUUUUUCUCCGUGAAUUUGACUUUUUCUUGUGGUAUCGAACCAACCAUAGACUUAUUACCUCUAAAAUUUUCUGAAGGUUAAGAUUUUUUUUUUUAAACAAUUAAAACCAUCCCCAGAAAGAGACUCGAUGACACGUGUCAAAAAAUUGAAGUUUCUAACGGAGUUAAGAAAUAAGAAUAUGUUAAAAUAAGCAAAUUAAUGCAUACAUGUCAAAAAAUCUUCCAAAUAUUAAUUAAGUAAAUUCAGAUUAGUACAAUUUUAUUGAUUAUUUGAUUGUCACCCAGAAAAUCUAAGAAGAAAUUUUUAGCAACCCUUACUAUUUGGGUCACGAAAAGCUUAUAAAUAGACCCAGAUCUCCCAUACUACGAUCAUCAGCAACACCAAAAACACUUUCUUGAAGUAGCGUCUAUAAAUUUCUCUUCUGCUAUCACUUUUUACUCUAUUAAUUAAUAAUGUCUGAGGAAAAGCACCACCACCACGGCCUCUUCCACCACCACAAGGAGCAUGAGAAGCCUGAGGGUGCCACCGGCUACUCCGACACCGCCACCGGCUACUCUGAUACAGCCACCGGCUACUCUGAUACCCCCACCGGUUACUCCGACUCGACCACCGGAUACUCUGAUCAGUCAGCCACUGAUUACUCUGAGACUACAGGUUAUCCGGGAGACCGGCGUCGGCCAUCGGAGACGGAGAGCGGUGACUAUGGCAGGAAAGAGGAAGAGUUUGAUUACAAGAAGGAGGAGAAGCACCACAAACAUCUCGAGCACCUCGGAGAGCUUGGAACUGCUGGAGCUGGUGCUUUUGCUCUGGUAAAGUGAUUCUUCAUCAAGUGCUUUUUUUAUUUUGUGAUAGUGUAUAGUUUCAUUUCUCAUGCAUACAUACAAAAAAAAAGAUUUUUUUUUUUUUGACAGCAUAUAUAUGUAUAUAUACAAAGUACCACGCAUGUAACUAGGCUUUUUGCAUGGAUUGGAGGAAAAAAAAGAAAGAAUCCCAUUAUUUUCUUUAAUUUUAUCUCUAUGUUGACACUCAAUUAUUUAUUUAUUUAUUUUUUUUUGGGUGGUGGGGGGGUGUGAACCGAUAUUGUAAAUGGAUCAGCUUGAGAAGCACAAGGCAGAAAAGGACCCAGAGCAUGCACACAGGCACAAGAUAGAGGAGGAGAUAGCCGCGGCCGCAGCCGUUGGAUCGGGAGGAUUUGCGUUCCACGAGCACCAUGAGAAGAAAGAAGCCAAGGAAGAAGACGAGGAAGCUCAUGGAAAGAAGCACCACCAUCUCUUUUAAUUAAUUAUGUAUUGCGUGCGCUACCUUUUUUAGUUUAUUAUAAUUAUGUGUUAAUAUUUUCUGUAUUUUAUUUGUUUUUGUUCGUUAAUUAUCAUUGAGCACAGAGGUAGCUAUCUGCAGCCCUAAAUAAUACUCUUGUGUGUUCGCGUGUAUGGGUGAGUCUGGUGACUUUUGUAAAUAGACCGGAGUUAUCUGGUUAUGUUGUCAUCUUACUUUCAUAUUUAUGUUGAUAAUAAAACUUAGUUUUAAUUGUGUGUUUAUUAUUUAUAAGAUUUGACCUCAUGAUCUGAUGUUUUCUCCAAUCUCAGCUGUUGCUUUAGAAGUGGGGAUCAUCUAUUACUAUUGUUUUUAAAUGAACUGAGCUGACAGCCAUUGCGCUAAAGACUAAUUCAACAUCAUAAAUAAACAACUCUCUUUGCGGUGAUGUAAUUUUAUUUGCCAAUGGGAUAAAGUAAAUUUAUGUGAAAUAACAUUUAUUCUAUAUUUAUUAAAUUUUUUAAAGGAAUAUAUAAAGUUUAAAUUAACCUACAACUUUUCUUAAGAUUCAAAUCCUUGGGGGCUUUAUCAAAUAAGAUUUGAUAUUAUAUCUGAAAAUGUAAUCGUGAAACCAAUGAUUAUAAGUUGAACUUAAUGUACAACUAAUCUUGAUAUUACCAAGUUGAUUUAUGGACUUUUGCUCGAGAAUGUUGUAUGGCUCGUGACAAGUUGGACUGAAAAGCCUAUCGAGUAAUGGAAUGUUAGGUGUAUUUUCUCAAGAAGCAACACUAAAUAAUCACCCGCUGAGAGUCACAAGUUUCUUGGCACAAUGUUACUUUCAUGGAUUUAAGUCUCUAAUUAUUGUGUUUUGACUCUAAAGCCAAAUCCCUGUACCAUUGUCAUGAAGGAGGGCCAAAAUAAUCAUUUCCGAUUCGGCUCAACUUUGAUACAAUAGUUGGAGCGAUUAAUGUUACACUUUAACAUCUAACUAGGGACGUAGCUUUCUCCUUUAUUGUAAUAAACAUGAAAGUGAAAAAAAAAUGUAAUUGAAAAGAUUAAGAGGACAUGAAAGAACACGAAACAGGGCUCCAUCUACCAUGCCCCCUUGCGCACCGUACCCCCUUUACUUGUUUUGUAAUGAAGGCACCGUUGGAUGAAAAGGAGGAAGAUCGUGGAAGUGGGAAAUCGCCAGGUGGCAGUUGACAAAAACCGGGAGUAUAAGUCAAUUGACAGGAACUGUUUAUGGUGCAAUAAUUUUAUUAAAAGGAACAACAAAUAUGUUGGUACAGACAACAAUAAAGUAGUUAGCUGAAGCAAUUAUAUGUAGAAGCAAGUAGUUUGUUAGAGACAAUUUUAUGUACGUUAUAAACAAAUAUUUUGUUGGAAGAGGCAUAUAAGUGUGGUUACUGUAGCACGGAAAAUGAAAUGAGAUCAAUUGAUGUUAACUAAAUAAAAAAUGAAGCAUGAACGAAAGGAUAGGAAGUAGAUGUAGUUGAUUAGAUGUGUUGAGAAUACGCUCGGAGCCGCAAAAUCCGGCAGGGCCACAGUAAAUAGAGCAAAAAAUAAUCUAGUAUGUGGAGGGAUGAGUUGGCGAAUUAGUAGGAAGCAUCAAAAAAAUUGAGAGCCGCCGUCGGCUGACCAUUUGUGGCAUUAGUUCCACAAAUUGGCAAAUGGGGGAAGGAAGCUUGUGUAAGUGGCAUUAUUUGUAGUGUAUGGAAAUAAUGGGAAAACGAGGAAAAACAAUUACAGCACAACAAGUAAUACUGAAAUAAACAGAAAGGAGAGAAAAAAUGGAAUGAAAAUAAAGUAUAAUUGCAUAGAUAGUGAUUUAUUUUUUUUUUUAAAAGAAGGAACAAAUUGUAGAGUGGAGAGGAGGUAUAUAUAAUCAGAACAAUAGUGGAUUAGAUUUGUGUGAAAUUUGCAUGAGUCUGAAGAAGUAUAAAUUGGAUUUGAAUAGAAUUUGAACUUAUCUGUGGCUAGGAUUUGAAUAUCAAGUAAAAUACGAAAAAAAACAUGUAGCAAAUAAAGAUUGGCAUGGAAGCAGGAUAAUCAGUUCGAAAAGCAGGAGCUAUGGAAUUGACGAUAGCUUGAAAACCCAUGCAUGUCAGUGUUGUUACAUGGCAGCUAUCACCAUAGGUCCACAUCGGUGACUUGAAAUAACAAAUAUCUCGGAAAGUGGGUGAUUGCUUAAGACGUGAACGACCAAAUGCCCAUCAUCUUUAUUUAUUACCAUGAAACUGCACUUUAUAGCGCCAUAUAAAUACAUUCGUAAUGCACAAAACAAAUACAUGUCCAUUACAUUGGCAGCCCCAAAAUUAAUAAAAUAAUAAUAAUAAUGCUCAUUUCUAAUGAAAUCAAUAAAUCAGAUCUACAAUGGACUGUAACCCAUAGGCAUGAUGCAUCCGAUUCACUUCUUUCCAUUACUUGUUGCAAUUUCACUUUCUGAUUUUCUACACAGAUUCAUUGAAAAAACUUAACAACUCUGAAGUUACUAUGGAACUUUCGAUCAUACAUUUGAUUAUCAUUACAUGUACUUACAAAGAUACAAAACAGAUAAAUUAAUUAAUCCCUUGAUCAUUAUACUACAAGUGCAAAAAAUUGUGAUAUAAAUUUAGGAAAAUCAGUUGGGUGGAAAUUGAUAAUUAAGACGCGAUGUGCUUCUAAGAAGUUGAAGCUGAAUGUAUACUCAGCAUAAAGAUAAAUAAACGGGGACGCCAAACACCACUAAUACAAUAAAAUUACAGAGAAAAACAACUAUUUUUUCUCAUCAAUCCUGCUGCAUUAAAUGGGCCCAGUUGAACUGCUGGUAAUAAUCCCUAAAUCAAUUUGAAAUCGAUGCCCUCUACUCCAUAAUUUUACCCUAAAUCUCACUUCCCAGUAGGUUUACCAACAAAAAUUCACUAUUCAACUCAUGCAUUUCAAUUUCAGCUUCCACUAACCUGAUAUUUUUUAUUGCCGUGAUCUCUUCUCCCUCUGUUUCGUUUGAUGCUACCAGAAGAAAAUUAAACUCAACAUGAUCCGCUUCAUAAAUCCGAGCUAACACACCGUCGCUGCGCACUUGACUAUUCUCCACAACUCGGGUCUCUCUCCCUCACACCGGUCAAAAUCAAUUCCACUCACGAUUUACAGCACCCUAAGACCAAUGUCAAAGGUGCAACAGGUUAGAAUGGUAGCCCAACUUUAACUCACUAUUCAUUCUCAAAGCUCCAGCCAUUAGAUUUCACUCAUUAUAAUCUAACGGUUCCAGAAAACCGACAAAUACAGGGAGCACGGUGCCCAAGGGGGCACAAUUAGGGAUGGCAAUGGGGCGGGGUAGGGGUGGGGAUGCCUACCCCAUUCCCCACCCCAUUAAAAAUUUUUGCCUCCAUUCCCCACCCCAUUCCCCAAUAAAUUUAGUGGGUUGGGGAUGGGGAAUCCCCACGUGGGGAAUGAUUCCCCCAUCCCCACCCCAUUCCCCAUUUACAUAUUUUAUAGUAGAUAUAAAAAUAUGAUUUCAGUAAAUUAAAAAUUAGAGACUUAAGAUAAAAUCAUCACAAUAUUAUAAAGUAUUUAAUUUUAAAAAAAAUCUCUAAAAAUUUGAAACAAUAUCUUAAAAUGAUAUUAAAAGUGAAAAAUAUUUAAAGAAAGCAGCACCUUAAAAGAGAAAAGAAAAUAUAUUAAUGUUUUAAAAUUGAAAAAUAUUGUAGAAUUUUCUUUUAUUCAUAUUCUAUUUAUAUUACAUAAAAAUUACAAAUAAAAUUAUUAAUUGACAUUAUAGUUGAUAAAAUACAAAUUAUUAAAUAAGAAUUAAAAACAUAUUUAUAUAUAAUGGGGAUUGGGGUGGGGGUGGGGUGGGGAGUGCAAUACCAAACCCCACCCCGUUAACAAUUUGGGGAUUACUUUUCCCCCACUCCCCACCCCAUUCCCCAAAAAUUAUUAAAAAAUUUCCCCAUUUGGGGUGGGGCUCCAUGGGGCCCCAAACCCGUGGAGAAUUUUGCCAUCCCUAGGCACAAUAGCUGGACCCACGAAACAGGCGGAUAAUUAGGGAAGUGUUGGUCAUGAUUGUCAUCUUUAAUUUGCAGACAAAGAGCAUUAAUUUUUUUUUUUUGGGUUUUAUACUUUUAUCUCACCACUUGAGAGUGGUACAUUUAACAAAAACCCAAAUUCACUAGCAUCUAUGUAAUGUUAUUAUUAUUCUCGCUAAAAAUAUGCUUAAACAAAAAGGAAAUAUCGACAAUUCUAAAUAGAUAAAAAAUUAUUUACACAGGCGUUAAAAAAACCUUUAUGGAUUAAUUUUUUAAUAAUAAAUAAUAAUCUUCAUUAUUAUUUAGUCUAAUGACAGCUGAUGGAUUCUUUUUUCUAUUUAUAUAAUCAGCUUAAUUAGUUCGAGCCUAAAAUUUUUUAUUUCAAGAAAUUUUAUCACCUCAGAUGAAACCUACAUUGAACAAUUGUUUAUAUUACAACAGUAAAUUAUAACCACCGAAACAUCAACUGCCAUUGGAUUGGGACCCAUUUAACCACCGGCCACAAAACAGUUUGGACGAAACUGAAUCCUGAAAAACUUAUGCACCUCCCUUUUCACUUGUUUUUUUAAAAAAAAUUAAAGAAAAAUUACGUGUCAAAAAGAAAAAAAAAUUACACUGACGAAUCCCUUACUGUCAUGCCAAAUUAUCACACUUAAAAUAAAGAAUUUAAGCAAAAGUCUUAAACCAUUAUAAAUGUGAACGUAUGGCUGAUUUAUGAUAUGAUGGGUCCAUCUAUUAAAUAUGUUGUUUUCUUUAGUGUGGAUGUUUUUAUUUUAUUUUAUAAAAGUAUGAAUUUAAUAUUUUAUAAUAUUAUAAAAUAUUUUAUAAAGUGCAAAGUUCAACACUUGAGAAAAAUUUCUUAAGGUUAAAGUUUAUCAUUACAAAGAGUGAAAAAAAAAAAAGAAGAGGAGGAAAAUAUCCAAUUGUAACUACAACCGUCGUGUUUUUACAUUGUAUUUCUUACAAUUUUCCAUUAAAUAUUUCUCAAAUUCUUUAGAGAAUUAAAAUAAAUUUGUUAUAAAAUUAAAUUCUCUCAUGAUCUAAAUUUGUCUGGAGUAAAAUUUAGUUGGAGAUUAGUGGUUAAUUAAAAAAAUAGUUAAAUCAAAAUCAUACAUAGCAUUAAAAAAAAUAUAAAAUACAAGAUAUUUAAAAAUUCGAGAGAGUUCAUGUUAAGAAAGGGUUUUAAUUCAAUAAUGCAUAUGAUAUGCAAUGCAAAGUUUGGUGGGUCUAUUAAAACUAUAAUUAAUUUUAUCCAUUAAACUGCUAUUUCCUCUUUUAUGGAUAAUUCUUUUGAGCCACUGUUGAAGUAUUUGCAAUUUGUAACUAAAUUGUCUGAGCAUGAAGUCUCGUUGGUAAAACCAAUCAUGUCGACAUGUAACGAAAAUAAAUCAAAAUCCGGAAACAAUAUUUAUGUAACAAUGAACCAACAAUAGACCAAUCACAUUAUUAUUAUUAUUAUUAUUAUUAUUUGAGUACAUAAAUUGAUUUUCUUAGAGUAAAAAAGAAAAGAUUUUUUUCUCCGUGAAUUUGACUUUUUCUUGUGGUACCGAACCAACCAUAGAGUUAUUACCUCUAAAAUUUUCUGAAGGUUAAGAAUUUUUUUUUAAACAAUUAAAAUCAUCCCCAGAAAGAGACUCGAGUACACGUGUCAAAAAAUUGAAGUUUCUAACGGAGUUAAGAAAUAAGAAUAUGUUAAAAUAAGCAAAUUAAUGCAUACAUGUCAAAAAAUCUUCCAAAUAUUAAUUAAGUAAAUUCAGAUUAGUACAAUUUUAUUGAUUAUUUGAUUGUCACCCAGAAAAUCUAAAAAGAAAUUGUUAGCGACCCUUAACAUUUGAGUCACGAAAAGCUUAUAAAUAGACCCACAUCUCCCAUGCUACGAUCAUCAGCAACACCAAAAACACUUUCUUGAAGUAGUGUCUAUAAAUUUCUCUUCGGCUAUCACUUUUUACUCUAUUAAUUAAUAAUGUCUGAGGAAAAGCACCACCACCACGGCCUCUUCCACCACCACAAGGAGCAUGAGAAGCCUGAGGGUGCCACCGGUUACUCCGACUCGACCACCGGAUACUCUGAUCAGUCAGCCACUGCUUACUCUGAGACUACAGGUUAUCCGGGAGACCGGCGUCGGCCAUCGGAGACGGAGAGCGGUGACUAUGGCAGGAAAGAGGAGGAGGUUGAUUACAAGAAGGAGGAGAAGCACCACAAGCAUCUCGAGCACCUCGGAGAGCUUGGAACUGCUGGAGCUGGUGCUUUUGCUCUGGUAAAGUGAUUCUUCAUCAAGUGCUUUUUUUAUUUUGUGAUAGUGUAUAGUUUCAUUUCUCAUGCAUACAUACAAAAAAAAAGAUUUUUUUUUUUUGACAGCAUAUAUAUGUAUAUAUACAAAGUACCAAGCAUGUAACUAGGCUUUUUGCAUGGAUUGGAGGAAAAAAAAGAAAGAAUCCCAUUAUUUUCUUUAAUUUUAUCUCUAUGUUGACACUCAAUUAUUUAUUUAUUUAUUUAUUUUUGGGGUGUGGGGGGGGGGGGGGGGGGGUGUGAUACGAUACUGUAAAUGGAUCAGCUUGAGAAGCACAAGGCAGAAAAGGACCCAGAGCAUGCACACAGGCACAAGAUAGAGGAGGAGAUAGCGGCGGCCGCAGCCGUUGGAUUGGGAGGAUUUGCGUUCCACGAGCACCAU